UGCGGUGUGUGUAGUUGUGUGUGUGUGUGAGCGCGUUGUGUGUGUGUGCGUAUGUGUGUGGAUGAGGCCGAUCCUAGUUAAGUAGGUUAGCUAAUUAGUAGUUAGGCUAAGUAGUGGUUAGGUAUAGGGUAAAUGACAUAUGGGACCACCCUGGUUAAUUACCAUUUUAUUAGACGAAAGACAAUGACACAUGGGACCCACUUACACUAUUCAUGUGUUGACCAGUCAACCUUUGACCAGGUCAACCCAACCCCAUUGGCCCCACUGUCAUACUCACACGCUAGGGUAGCACUAGGUGACAAAAGUAUUUUCUGCUUUUAAUUCGAAUUAAAACAAUUUAAAAAAGAUAAAACUUUGAAAAUUAAUAUAAAAUAAACCGUAGCUCGGAUAGAAAAACUUUGUACAUGAAAGUUGCUCGUAACGACGAGACGAAUCCGAAUACGCAACCCGUUUGUUCGCCACACAUCCCUAACAUAUCGAACACGCAACUUUUCCCCUCCAAUUCAUUUGUCCAAAAACGCGAAACACCUGGAAUAUUUUCCCGAAUGUUUCCCCCCUUCGUCGGUAUCACCUACUACCGCGUUAGGGCACACCUAGCAUCGCGUAUUGCCAUGUUACGCUUUGUGAUGCUUUGAUUGCUUUGUUAUUUAUUGUGUUCCCCCUCCGCUACUUCUUUCCGGUAGACCCGGAGACUGCCGGCGACCCCAGUUCGACUACACCGAAGAUGACCCCUCUUUCUCGGCUGAGCUUCCAGGCAAGCCCCCCCUUGAUCACCAGAUAUCGCCUAUUCUCCUCUAUACUGCUUGCAAUAGAGUAGUGUAGCAUGUUACUGCUUUCCGUUAAUCCUAUUCUGAUGCAUAGCCUGACAUUGUUGCUACAUCUGUUGAUACCUUACCUGCAACCUAAAUACUUAGUAUAGGAUGCUAGUUUAUCAUCUGUGGCCCUACAUUCUUGUCGGUCUGUCUUGCUAUACUAUCGGGCCGUGAUCACUUGGGAGGUGAUCACGGGUAUAUACUAUACAUAUAUACAUACUACAGAUGGUGACUAAAGUCGGGUCAGCUCGUUGAGUACCCGCAAGUGAUUCCGAUGUGGGUGCUGGAAGGACAGGUGGCUCCAUCCCGAAAGAGGUGGGCCUGGGCUCCCGACGACCCCCGACUGUUACUUUGUGACGGAGCGACAUGGCACGUUGAGACCACCUAGGCGAGAAGUGGGCCUGGCCCUGGUCGACGUCCGCGGUUACUUCAUAAUAACACGCUUAACGAGAUCUUGGUAUUUGAUCUGAGUCUGGCCACUGGCCUAUACGCACUAACCAACUACGCGGGAAAGAUAUGGGCACUCGGCGUCGUGGUAUCAGCCGAAGCCUUCGUGACGUCAGCGACUGAGCGGCGCGCGCCGGGUUGGACUGCGUUAACGCAACUUUCUUUGUAAUGGAGGUUGCUAGGUCUGCUUCCGGCCGCGCACGCAACAUGCAGGUGUGCAAUGGGCGAUGGGCCCAGACCCCUGCGCGCAUAGGAUUUAGACCGGCGUGCUGACCUCUCUGUUGUGCCUAGGUGGGGCUGCGACGUGUUGAUCUUCCGAGGCCGGGCAUGACCCAGGAAAGUGUGUCCGGCCAAAUGGGAUCGAGCGUGUUGGGUUAUGUGGUGCACCCCUGCAGGGAAGUUUAUCUAUUCAAAUAGCCGUGUCCCUCGGUAAAAGGACGACCCGGAGUUGUACCUUGACCUUGUGACAACUAGAAUCGGAUACUUAAUAAAACACACCCAGACAAGUUCCACAGACAACCCGGUGAUUGCUUUUCCACAGGGCGACGAGGGGAGGAUCGCCGGGUAGGAUUAUGCUAUGCGAUGCAACUUGGAGGACUUCAAUCUACUCUCUUCUACAUGCUGCAAGACGGAGACUGCCAGAAGCGUAGUCUUCGACAGGAUUAGCUAUCCCCCUCUUAUUCUGGCAUUCUGCAGUUCAGUCCACUGAUAUGGCCCUUUACACAUAUACCCAUGCAUAUGUAGUGUAGAUCCUUGCUUGUGAGUACUUUGGAUGAGUACUCACAGUUGCUUUGCUCCCUCCUUUUCCCCUUUAUCCUCUUCUUCUCGGAUGCUGCAACCAGACGUUAGUGCCCAGGAUCCAGACGCCACCGUCGAUGACGACUACUACACUUGAGGAGCCUACUACUAUGUGCAGGCCACUGACGACGACCAGGAGUAGUUAGGUGGAUCCCAGGCAGGAGGCCUGCGCCUCUUUCGAUCUGUAUCCCAGUUUGUGCUAGCCAUCUUAUGGCAACUUGUUAACUUAUGUCUGUACUCAGAUAUUGUUGCUUCCACUGACUCGUUUAUGUACGAGCACUUGUAUUCGAGCCCUCGAGGCCCCUGGCUUGUAAUAUGAUGCUUGUAUGACUUAUUUUACUUUUAGAGUUGUGUUGUGAUAUCUUCUCGUGAGUCCCUGAUCUUGAUCGUACACAUUUGCGUGCAUGAUUAGUGUAUGAUUGAAUCGGGGGCGUCACAAAAAUUAGCCUCAAAAAACGCAUUAGGCCCUGUAUAGUAAAUGGAAGGAGGGAGUAGUAGUGGAAGUGGAUCCUCUGACGUAGGUAUCCCUGCCUUACCCUCCCUUUCGGUCACUUACUGGCAGACCCCAUGCUUGCUAGGCCCCGCAUGUCAGUUACUCAAUGGGUUCGGCCACGUCAGGGGAUCCUCAUCCGUAGUAUACUCCCUCUGUUUUUAUUUACUCUGCAUAAAAUGGAGUGAGUGGUAGUAUAAUAAAUGAUGCGGGCGGGGGAGGGGGAGGGACGUCAGUUUGCUCUCAACUGCGGUCCCACAAGCGAGCGAAAACGCAAGACGAAGCGCGUUCCAUUCGAUGAGGGACAUGGAGGGUCUAGCGUGUCAGGCUGCAACGCGAACGCGACAAGAGCAAUGUACAGUCAAAACCGAUUGACCGAUCGUCACUUGAGCCACUAUUUACACCAGAACCUUUGCUGCUCGGCCUACGCCAGCCACUGCCCUAAAACCACAACUAAUAUCUAGCCCAUCCCCCCACCUUUCGAUCCCCUAGCCCGCAUCAAGCAUCCCCUAGUUCGCCGGAAAGCCAUGGUGCGCCGCAAGAUCACUUACUACAAGAAGCUGACGUCGGAGCGCUGCGCAGAAAUCGCGGUGGCGGUCGGUGCCACAGACCCCCGUUCCCAAGCUCGCUUUGCGGCGGGCCAAUCCCCGAGUUCUCUGGAGCCAAGCCACGAGGAGGAGGAAGCCGAUCCAAUGUUCAUGGCGUAGGUCGCGGCGCAGAAGGCCCCCGAUGGGUAUGAGACGAUGGAUGUCGACUUCGUGCCGGCGUUCGAGUCCCCCAUGGUGCAGGCGGACCAACGGUUCAACAUGGCGAUACUAAAGGAGGACCGGGAGGCAGAUGCUCAACUCGAUGCGGAGCGCGCGCAUGCCGCUGCCAUCGAGGCUCUCCUGCAGGCGAAACCAGAUGUCCUGGAUGUGAACUGGGCGGCGGAGGCUCAACUUGAGGCGGAGCACGCGGAUGCCGCUGCCAUCGAGGCCCUCCUGCAGGCGGAACCGGACGUCCUGGACUUGAACCGGGCGGCAGAGGCUCGACUCGAUGCAGAGCGUGCAGAUGCCGCUCUCAUCGACGCCCUCCUGCAGGUGGAACAGGACGUCCUGGAGUUGAACCGGGCGGUGCAGAUUCGACUCGACGCAAAGCGCGCGGAUGCCGCUGCCAUCGAGGCCCUCCUGCAGGCGGAACCAGACGUCCUCGACUUGAACCGGGUUGUGCUCUCGUCCGCGCAGAGCGCCCGCACGCUCCACGUGAACGAGUAGCUGGAGGCCGAGGACAACCACGGUGCAGAGACACACGUCGGCAGCUAUGGCUGGUUAGCGCCGGCAGCCAAAGACGACGAGGCCGUCUCUUUCCGCGAGCAGUGCUAGUUUUUAUUUAUGUUGUUGUUUUUAUGGAUCUUUUGCUGUGUAAAAACGUAUAUUUGUUAUGCAAGUCGACUGACUUGGGUCAGUCUACCAUUUCAGGCAGUUGGAUGAAUAUCCUACGUCUUCUAACCCUUCUUUUCUUCUUCCUCACCUCUUCUUCUUCCCCAACAGACCACCGCACGGGCCAUACGGAUACUCCCCAACAUGCAGUUGGAUAAACAUACUCUAUGAACGAAAAUUAUGUGUCAGCGAUAGGAUGGCUAAGAUUGGUUUGUUCACAUGCGACAGCACGUGUCAGUGAGGGUGCGUUCCCUUGGUUGGGUUUGCGGCGUGUAGGACCGACUGUGUGAGGGUGCGGUGUGACCGCGACGUGCAGGAGCGACCGUGUGAGGGUGCGGUGCGACCGCGGCAUGCAGGAGCGACCGUGUGAGGGUGUGGUGCGACCGCGACAGCUGUGCGCAAGUGUACCUCCUUAUCAUUUUGAAAACUAUAGGCAAGCUUGGCAAAAAUGUGUGGCGAAGUUUGGCAAUUCAAGGCCUAGACCCAAACAGGAUAAGUACGUACGUACUAGGAGUACUAGUGUUAAAAAAGAAAGGCGGGGUUUUCCUUCAUGGGAUUUAAUUGAUACAAAUCCUCAUUUCACGUGUCAAUUAAUGCAUAAAGUGCAUUGACGGAGAACACCAUUGAGGGAGACCACGGUAAGUCGUUCGCAAGUGCCGCCUGCAAGCCGAGUCAACUGCCUUAUUUGCAUCCAGGAAGUCCAUUGAACCAAAGGACUAGUACUACUAGGAGUACACAAUAGCGUCGUCCGUCCAGCUUAGUGCGGUGAGAUGGUUUCUUGAAGAAGAUGAUGGAUAAGCGGAGUCAGCGAAGAGUGAAAUGAUUGUUACUUUGUCCGUGCUUUUGUGAUUUGACGUCUCACUGCUUUGUGAAUUGUGAUAGAAGAGACAGGGGAGUAGACUCUGUGCUCUAUACUGUACUACAUGCGUCCAAGCAUGGGAGAAAGAGGAUAGACGUUGCAUUUUUCUAUUCCUUCAAUCAAUCAAUCAAUCAGGGAGCUUCGGUUCCAUCUUUUUGGCUUUGGCAACACCGUCCACAAUGGUUCCCAUGAUGCCAAAAGCUAUUUUCACAUUUGGCUACACAUUGUGGAUGCCCUUAACCGUACCACUUGGUUUUGCUCCUGUGUGCUAUCUAUACAAAUCUCAAUUAUAUUGAUCUAAAAAAUUAUAGAAUCAAGAUUAGUAAAAAGGAGGUGAUUUUGCCGCGCGGAUGGUGGGGGAGGUUUCUUAUUUCCAGAGGAUGUUGUCCUGGCGGUUUGCUAACAUGCGGUCCCAUGUGUUAGUGCUUUACCAAGCCGAUCCGCAUCCCACAUGAGGCAGAACAACGGCAGAAGCAACACGUGGUUAACUUGAAGAAGAUGAGGGAGAAGCGGAUUCAGCAACGAGUGAAAUGAUGGUUGCUUCGUCCCUCCAACUACUUUUUUUAGCAUUAUUACUUUGUCCCUCCAACUUAACUGGGGGAAAGGUGCAUCUUUGUGAUUUGAUGCCUCAUUGCUCAUUACUACGCCGGCGCCAUGACUGGGGUGCUUCACCCCGGCUGCUCUGCACUGUAUUCCGGUAUGGCACGUGGACCCGGUAGCUUGAUGUCCCACAUGUCGGCGAAAGGGACUAGAAGAUUAUGAAAGCGAGUGCUCCACUCUUGCGACGGAGGAGUACACGACACGACGGCCCAGUGAACUUUCACUUGUACUGUAUAGUACUAUAGUUUUGCUGUUUCGCACGAUCCAUCGAUACAAACCAGAUUAAACAGGAAAGGGCGGGAUUUUUCUCGCGCGGUAGAUGAUACUGGCCAUACAUUUCAAAGGCAAUUUUACUGUAUGCAAACUGAAUAAUUAAGGCCUUUCCCAGUGCUCCAUGGUGUACAAGUGCUAAGGAUGCCACAUAGGUAGAAAAAUGAUGUGACAAAGCAAUUAAAGAGGAGAGAGAGGAUUAUGGUGACCCCAGCAAGAACCAAUGCUAAGCACGUGAACCUAGACAAAAAGACUACCAACCAAUAUAUGUAGGAGUUCUAUUACUAAAUAAUUAAAUAGAGAAGGCUUAGCUACAAAACCUAAGCACCGAUGCAUUGGGGACAUUAGUCGCUAAGCAUUUUAAUGCACUUAGCACCCCAUGUCGGUGUAAAAACCGGCGGAUCUCGGGUAGGGGGUCCCGAACUGUGCGUCUAAGGCUAAUGGUAACAGGAGACAAGGGACACGAUGUUUACCCAGGUUCGGGCCCUCUCGAUGGAGGUAAUACCCUACUUCCUGCUUGAUUGAUCUUGAUGAUAUAAGUAUUACAAGAGUUGAUCUACCACGAGAUCGUAGAGGCUAAACCCUAGAAGCUAGCCUAUGAUUAUGAUUGUUCUUGUCCUACGGACUAAACCCUCCGGUUUAUAUAGACAAAGGAGGGGGCUAGGGUUACACAGAGUCGGUUACAGAGAAGGAUAUCUACAUAUACGAAUUGCCAAGCUUGCCUUCCACGCAAAGGAGAGUCCCAUCCGGACACGGGACGCAAUCUUCAAUCUUGUAUCUUCAUAGUCCAACAGUCCGGCCAAAGUAUAUAGUCCGGCUGUCCAAGGACCCCUUAAUCCAGGACUCCCUCAGUAGCCCCUGAACCAGGCUUCAAUGAUGAUGAGUCUAGUGCACAGAUUGUCUUUGACAUUGCAAGGCGGGUUCCUUCUCCGUAUACUUCAUAGAAGAUUGUGAACACAAGGAUCGUGUACGGUUCUGCAAAAGAAAUUCCACAUACCACCAUAGAGAGCACAGUAUUCCAUAAAUCUAAUCUGCUGACAGCUUUUAUAGCAUGACAUCACGCCAUGGUCCGGUCAUUAUUCGAACCGUUUUUCACAACCAGCUACUACACGUAAUACGAGGCGGUUUCCUUCGCACGUCUUGUCGAAGCAGAGAUCGUGUCCCCUUAUCGCGGGAUUCUCGUCAAUACGGGCAUGGGUAACCCAACCGCACCAUCAAUCGUGGCGCUUGGGGAAUAAGCGAUUUUAACGGGCGAGUGGGGAGGCGCACAGUUCUACCGCCUUUAUAAAGAGAUAGGGAUUCUCCUCUUUCACCCACGUCUUCUUCUUCCUUCGCUCAUCCAUUCUUGCACGCUCGAGCUCCAGCGCCCCAGUCCUCACCUUCUCCGCACAUCCGUUCCAAACAUGUCCGGAGCGGGAGGCAAGUGGAUGGCCUCCUCCAUCAUGGAGGACAUUACGAAGCUCCGGAGGCCGGACACUUGGCCGCAAACAUUGCACACCGGCUCCCAGACGCAAGGCAGAUUGUUCGGACUCCGCAACCCCACGAGAGGGUUGUGUUCCUCGCCCACUUCGUCCGCGGACUGGGAUUCCCCCUCCACCCAUUUGUCCAUGGGCUCAUGUUUUAUAAUGGGCUAGAUUUUCAUGAUUUGGCCCCAAAUUUCAUCCUCAACAUCUCGGUGUUUAUCGUCGUGUGCGAGGCCUUCCUCCGCAUCAGGCCGCACUUCGGCCUGUGGCUGAAGAUCUUCAACGUGAAGCCGAAGAUUGUGGUUGGCCAGCAAGCGGAGUGCAGAGGCGCUAUGGUGGGCAAGAUGCCCAACGUCACCUGGCUCGAGGGAUCCUAUGAGGAGACCAUAAAGGGGUGGCAGUCGGGGUGGUUCUACAUCACCGAGCCGCGCGACGCCAACUGGGCGGUGACCCCCGAAUUCUAAUCCGGCAUCCCCAUGCGGCUAACCUCCUGGAAGAAGUAGGGUUUAGCCUGGGGCGCACCCCCGGAGCUGACUGGACUCUAGAACUGCGUCAACAAUAUGAUAAGCAAGAAGAUCAAGCUUGUCAACGUGGUCCAGGUCAUGCUCUUUCACCGGAUCCUCCCGGGUCAAAGACGGGCGUUCAACCUGUGGGAACUCGAUGCAGCCAAACACCAGACGUUGCGAGAGCUCUUCGACACGAUGCACAAAUACAUCUGGAAGGUGUUGUUCAAGGCCGCCGAAGUACCUCCUCCCACCAUCGAGGACCGCGGACUCAGUGCAAAGCGCCAUGCCAAUUCGGUAAGCACUCUAUAUUUCACAAGAUGUGCCUUUCCUUAGUAUAUUUGUGGGAGGAAUAUAAGCCAUCGUACUGUUUUUAACAGGACUAUGUGGCGACAGCGGAGCAGAUCGACUGUCCGGCUCCGUUGCCUGAAGAUCCAACAGACGAACUCGUGAUGGAGAUGCUGUUUUCGGCGCCCUAUGAGGUGCCGAAGAAGAAGGCCACGGGGACCAGGAAAGGUCUCCGGUGCAAGGUUGUGUCGGACUCAUCGUCCGAAGACACCGAAGCGCACUCCUCCAAUGAAAACGAGGAGGAGGAAGAGGAAAACCCCCUCCCCCGAAUUGAGGGGGAGAAGAAGAGGAAGACUGCCCCAUCCGGGGAGGCCGAAGGGUCCAAGAAAGGGAGGACCCUCCCGCUGGACCACUCCACGACGGCCGCCUACAUCAACGAGGAGUGGCUACCCAGGGACAAACCCCUAGCGAAGUCGUAAGUAUCCAGAUGCCAUAAUACUUCUGGUAUGUUUAGAUUCAUGGCUUCUUAUCAUAUUAAGAUAUAUUCCUGCAGCCCGUCCAAAGCCCGCAUCGACCUAUCCUCCUCGGGUGGGUCUUUGAGCUCGUCGGUGAUGAACAGCGAUUCGCUCCCGACGGCCUCCACUCCCCGGCCCCCAGACGACACCAAAGUGUUGUCUCAGAGGAUACCAGGCCAGGGGGAGAGUUCUGGAGGCGCCUCAAGGCGAAACCUCCAAUGUCGGGCUCAUGGGGGGGAGGAAGAUCCCCAUGGAUUCUGAUGAGGGGGGCUGCAGCAAGCUUGGCCCCCAGCCGGAUACCGUGCCGGAACCUCCCGUGGUUCCGGUUUCAGGCAAGCAGCCCCCUGCUAAGGAGGGCGAGCCACCUGUGCCGAUGACCUCUGUCCAUCCAGAGGCAUCAGACAACUUGCUGGAAGUGCUUCGAGGCGCUUAUAUUGAUGAAGAACACUGUACUCUGAUGAGUACGGUGAUUGCGAAGGUUCAGUCCGCAAAAAGCGGAUUGACCGAAGCCUGCGCCAACCUCUUAACAGGCUUUGAGGUAAGUAAUUAAAUGAUGAGAAAAUAUCACAAUAUAGACAGUAGCCCCUGAUGCUCUGUUUGGUAUUCGGAAAGAAAGGCCGAAUAGAGGAUCACAUGUUACUACCAGGAGACUAAUCAAAUUAUGCCUAUGUGAAUAAGCAGGCAUCACUGCUGGCCGCCGCCGCACUCACUGCAGAGGUCUUCGGGCUGAAGCAGAACCUGGGGAGGGCCGAAGAAGAGCUCGGCCUCGUGAAGAGGCAGCUCGAGGAGAAUAAGGGUAAGUGAUACCCCGUCUGAAUGUUAUAUAAAGGAUAAAUUGUUGAUGCUAAUAGAGGCAUCAUGUGUAUAAUAAGGGCCACGACCGAAGUGGCGGCCCUUAAGAAGGCGUUGUCCGAGGCCGAAGGCCAAGCGGCGAAGGAGUGCACCGAGUGCGAAAAACAAGAGGCUCGGAUUAAUGAGGUCCAACAAGAGCUCCAAGAUUUUGUCAAGAAAUUUGAGACCUUGGAGCGUGACUCCAAGACACAAGAGUCGGAGCUUGCGAAAGCCCGUCAGAGCACGCAAGACGCCAAGGUCAAAGCCCAGAAGGCCCUCUAGGAGAUUGAGGCGGCCAAGAAGAUAGUGGAGGGUAAGGCUUUCAUUAUGCAAAGCAAGAAUGUGAAAGAGACUUUCCUUUUACUUACCCGAAUUUGGAGCUCUCCAGGAGCAUUCACAGAUUUGCCGCACAGCAUCUCUGAUGCCGCAGAGUUCUACCGAGCUUAGGAAGGGAGCUUGAUGGAUAAGCUGUUUUGGUCCCAGUAUAUUGGGGCCGAGCAUCCGAUGAACUUGAGCGACUAGCUAAGAAACUGGUCGAACUUCACAAGGCGACCAAACUGGCCAUGAAGGACUUCGUAGUCCGGCUGUGGUCUGGCGAGCCCCUGCCCGGUAGCUACUUCGGCCUUGUCAAGCGAAUGGUGAAUGCCUGUCCGCAUCUUGAAGUCAUUAAGCGGUCCGUCUGUAUUGAAGGUGCACGCAGGGCCUUGGCCCGUGCGAAAGUGCACUGGGCGAAGAUGGAUGCCGAGAAGCUGGUGACGGAGGGGCUGCCGAAGGGCAAGGAGCAUCGCCACCCCGAACAAUACUAUGAUAAUGUCAUUAAGGGUGCCCGCCUUGUGGCGGUGAAUGUACGAAGGAUGUAAUAUUUGAAUGAAUGUACUUAAGUCAUCCUGUAAUAUGAAGACAAGUUCAUGUGCGCUAUAUAGCGCUAUGUUAAUUUAAAAUAUUACCGUUUGUGCGGCUGUUUUAUAAAAUCUUGAGAGUUGGCCAGUCGUCGGCUUCUGCCCCCAUGUAGCUAGUACUGGGGUGUUCGGGAUAAAUACAAACACUCUUUAUCCAAAUUUUUGGUCCUUUUAAGGAGGUGUUUAACGCAGCGAACAAGGCAAUCGGACUAUACAACUUUAUCACUCUCACUUGGCCAUAGAAGUCUACAAUUUUAAAUUUUGGCGAAGCCCCUAGUGUUCGGAAGGCCGAACUUGGGGCGCUAUACACGCCUAAAUCGGACAAGACCGAUUCCUCACCCGAAGCAAAAAAAAUCUUUAAGGAUUUGAGACCUCUCGAACAGCGACCAGCUCUCGCCUCAUCAUGACAGUCAGUUUCGGCUUUCUCUACUAAGGUGCUCAUCCGGAAGAACCGGGACACAAUCGCAGUAGUUCUCACUGUGCUACCUUAGCCGAUAUAGUGGAACGUAAGGUACCAAAACAUAGGAGCCGGGCAAACCCAACUAUUGACCCAAGACAUGAUUCGGAGCUAAUGCAUAUAAUGCUAUAAGUUCGGGGUGCCGCACUGUCAAAAGUGUUCAGACUUUUCUUGCCGUGUUAUGGGGUAUACUGAAGCCCCUGGUGAGCCGGUCAUACCAAAGUGUACGGGUGCAGUAAAUAAUCAAAAAGGAGUAAAUGUAAUAGUAAGCUGACGCUGUACAUUAUUUUUCCUUGUUAUUCAAAUAGUACGUUAAAGUGUAUGUAUACAGUUAAUGCAAUAAGCAAAAAUAGGACUGUUUGACACAUCCUGACUUGGAGCGAGCUGUGUGCGGGUAUGUAAAACUGGUAUAGCGAUCAUUAUUAAAGACCACUUGAGUUUUCCCUUGUACGCCAAAGCUUCUUGUCUUCUUGGUGUGUCCGUCCUGCUAUGUGUCCGAUAAUUGAUCUAUCGAAGAGCCUCCCGAAGAUAGGGACCUGAAAGAAAAGAGGUGCAAAAAUGCGUGGGUCUUGGGGCGGUCGAACCGCAUUUUGGACCGUGUCAUAGUCGUGCCUCCGCCUAUACCCAUGGUAUUUAAGUGUGUAAUUGUGUAUGCACGACACAAAUUUUGCCGCUUGACUGGGAUUAGGACGGAGGCCGAAUUUCUAGUUGAGCUCUUGACGUGCCGAAUGAUCUUGUUGCGGGGUACCACGGACUCGCUUGACGAUGUCCGGGUUCUUUGUCACCGGAUUGGCUGUUUUCCUAAGAAGGUUGUUUUGUACUUCUGACGCGAGGGCUGCAGUGUGCUCCUCCAUACGGAGCGAGCGCUCAGUGUUUCCAUUAACUGUUAUAACCCCACGAGGUCCUGGCAUUUUGAGCUUGAGGUAUGCAUAAUGCGGCACCGCAUUGAAUCUGGUAAAUGCGGUUCGUCCGAGCAGUGCAUGAUAGCCGCUGCGGAAGGGGACGAUGUCGAAGAUUAACUCCUCGCUUCGGAAAUUGUCCGGAGAUCCAAAGACCACUUCCAGUGUGAUUGAGCCUAUGCGACAGGCCUCCAGACCUGGUAUGACACCUUUGAAGGUAGUUUUUAUGGGCUUGAUCCUUGAGGGGUCGAUGCCCAUUUUGCACACUAUAUCCUGAUAGAGCAGGUUCAGGCUGCUGCCACCGUCCAUGAGGACUCGUGUAAGGUGGAAUCCAUCGAUGAUGGUGUCAAGGACCAAUGCGGCCGAACCGCCAUGACGGAUACUGGUAGGAUGGUCCCUGCGAUCGAAAGUGAUUGGACAAGAGGACCAUGGGUUGAAUUUUGGGGCGACUGGCUCCAUCGCAUAGACGUCCCUCAGUGCACGCUUUUGUUCCCGCUUGGGAAUAUGGGUUGCGUAUAUCAUAUUCACAGUUUUCACCUGGGGGGGGGAUUUCUUCUGCCCUCCUGUGUUCGGUUGCCGGGGCUCCUCGUCGUCAUCGCUAUGCAGCCCCUUUUCCUUGUUUUCGGCAUUUAACUUGCCGGCUUGUUUAAACACCCAGCAUUCCCUAUUGGUGUGGUUGGCUGGUUUAUCUGGGGUGCCGUGAAUUUGACAUGAUGAUCGAGUAUGUGGUCCAGACUCGACGGGCCCGGAUUGUUUCUUUUGAAUGGCUUUUCUGCUGUCCGGAUUUAGAGCCUCUGAAUCCGGUAUUGACUGUCGUGUCUUUGGCAUUGUCGCCAUUGUUGUGACGCUUGUGUCUAUUGCGUCGUGGCUUGCCGUUGCUAUCUCUGGCAUCUGAAUCGCCUGAGUUUUUGGGUGUGAUGUUGCUAUGAGCCAGCCAGCUAUCCUCGCCCGCGUAAAAGCUGGUCAUGAGUGUCAUGAGGGAUGCCAUGGACUUUGGCUUCUCUUGGCCGAGGUGUCGGGCAAGCCAUUCGCAACGGAUGUUGUGCUUGAAGGCUGCUAAGGCUUCGACAUCCGGGCAGUCGACAAUUUGGUUCUUCUUAGUUAGGAACCGAGUCCAGAAUUUCCUGGCUGACUCUCCGGGCUGUUGGGUUAUGUGACUUAAGUCAUCAGCGUCCGGUGGUCGCACGUAAGUGCCCUGGAAGUUGUCGAGGAAUGCGUCUUCCAGGUCCUCCCAACUGCCAAUUGAACUUGCUGGCAGGCUAUUCAGCCAAUGCCGAGCUGGUCCUUUGAGCUUAAGUGGUAGGUACUUGAUGGCAUGUAGGUCAUCACCACGGGCCAUGUGAAUGUGUAGGAGAAAAUUUUCAAUCCACACGACGGGGUCUGUUGUGCCAUCAUAUGAUUCAAUGUUCACAGGUUUGAAUCCUUCUGGGAAUUCAUGACCCAUUACUUCGUUAGUGAAGCAUAGCGGGUGUGCGGAGCCUCUAUGUCGGGCUACAUUGCGACGUAGCUCAAAUGAGUCUGGUCUGUUGUAUUCGGCCCGGCCGGACUUUUGUUUAUUGUAUCCGGCGUGACGGUCAUCAUCACGCGUUGUGGCGCGCCCACGUGAUCCGUAGAUCGAUCUUGACUGUCCUGCUUUGUUUUCCAAUACGCCCCGCAGGUCCUUCGUGUAGCCUCGGGUCUUAGUAGUAUUGUUUGAUUGGCGACGGGGUGCGGUCUGGACUUCGGGCUGGUACGCCGCUUUGUCUCGGCCACGAGGUGGCCGGUCAGCUGCAUCAUGCGCUGGUAGUGGGCUUUAACGCCUCCUCCUCAAGUUGAGGUAGCAACUAGCGCUUUGGCUAACUUUUUGUCGGGCGCUCGAGUCCGUAUUCCUCGACAGCCAGGACCUCGGUCCAUCUGUCAGUAGCAGAUCUUGAUCAACUUGAAGCUGUUGCUGCUUUUUCUUCAGGCUUUUUGCAGUGGCUAUAAGCCGACACUUGAAGCGCUCCUGCUCAACGGGAUCCUCAGGUACGAUGAAUUCUUUGUCGCCGAGGCUUAAUUCGUCUUUGGAGAGAGGCAUGUAGUUAUCAUCCUCUGAUUCUCCAUCUGUUGCCUGUUCUUUAGGGCUAGCUUGCCCAUCUCCUUGCUCGGCCUGCUUGAAGCCCGACUGGGCAGGAUUGUUUUCGUCUUUGGCACCAUCCGGAUUGUUAUCAUCUCUUGUGCCGGUAUCGCUAUUUUUGCUAUGGCGGGGCUUGGAGCAGCGCCUAUGACACCGGUGUCUAGGUUGCUUAUCCAAAGGAUUAUCUUUGGUUGCCUCCUCGCUAUUGCUUUCUUUGGGGGUGUCCACCAUAUAUNNNNNNNNNNNNNNNNNNNNNNNNNNNNNNNNNNNNNNNNNNNNNNNNNNNNNNNNNNNNNNNNNNNNNNNNNNNNNNNNNNNNNNNNNNNNNNNNNNNNNNNNNNNNNNNNNNNNNNNNNNNNNNNNNNNNNNNNNNNNNNNNNNNNNNNNNNNNNNNNNNNNNNNNNNNNNNNNNNNNNNNNNNNNNNNNNNNNNNNNNNNNNNNNNNNNNNNNNNNNNNNNNNNNNNNNNNNNNNNNNNNNNNNNNNNNNNNNNNNNNNNNNNNNNUGUCUGUCCAGCGCCCUAUAGGCGGUGGUUCUUGUUCUUCUCUUGCGUCGUCGUCCAUACCGUCGAUGUCUUCGGAGUUGAAGUCAAGCACGCCGGUUAAGUCAUCGACAGUGGCUAUUAAGUGGGUGGUGGGUGGGGAACGAGUUUCUUCGUCGUCCGCUUCCCACUCGAGCCGGACAUAGUUCGGCCAAGAGUCCCCUGACAAAGAGAGAGAGACCUUAAUGAAUUUAGCACAUCACUCAAGGGCGAGUGUUGAAAAAUAUUCGCGGAGGUGAACUCCAUGACCGGUGCCCAAUCAGAUUCGAUGGGCAUGGUCGUAUGCGGUUCGGAUCCUAUAGACGGAGUCGAGUCCGAGGGUCCGAUGAUUCCGGCCUCAUAGGAGGUGAGGCCAGUGUUCGGCUUCAUGGCCGAGGAGUGUGCGGCCUCUGUGGCGGGGUCCAUCCACUCGUCCUCGGAUGGCUCGAUUUGCUCCGGAUUGAUUCCAGGUGGCGCCGCAGGCGCGAUCUGCCGAACACUGUCUGAUGGCAGAUCUAGGUCAUGCUCGUCGGGACCGUUCGGCGCACCUGACGUGGGCUCGAAUCCGUCGAAGAUCAAGUCUCCGCGGAUGCCAGCAGUAUAGUUCAAGCUUCCAAACCUGACCUGAUGGCCAGGGGCGUAGCUAUCGAUCUGCUCCAGAUGGCCAAACGAGUUGGCCCGCAGUACGAAGCCACCGAAUACGAAGAUCUAUCCGGGAAAAAAAACCUCCCCCUGGACUGCGUCGUUGAAGACGACUGAAGGAUCCAUCAAGCGUUAUCGCGACGGCACAGUGGAACUCUCAAUGAAAGCACCAAUGUCGGUGUCAAAACCGGCGAAUCUCGGGUAGGGGGUCCCGAACUGUGCGUCUAAGGCUAAUGGUAACAGGAGACAAGGGACACAAUGUUUACCCAGGUUCGGGCCCUCUCGAUGGAGGUAAUACCCUACUUCCUGCUUGAUUGAUCUUGAUGAUAUAAGUACUACUAGCAAAAAUGCCCGUGCGUUGCAACGGGAGAAAAAUGGUCACGACCCUAAACCGAUAAGUAUUCCCUCUCAUUCGACACACGAUGGUCCAUGUCCCUACUUUAACACGAUGCCCAACGCAGAUCCUCUAUUUCAAUAGGAGGCUCGACGCAUACCCGUAUCGCCGCUUAUCCUCUUGCCUCUAAUCAUGUAAAUCAUAAUUCCUUCAGACAUCUCAUGGACACCAAGCAUUUGCUAAUGUUGUUUAUUCACCUUGCAACUAUUGUUCAUAUCAACAAAUAAAGCAUAACAAAUAAUGGCAACUCUUUUGACAAUAACAUGUUCCUAGUCAUUUUUUAUUUAUCAAAACCAACACGCAGCUUUUUGCGAUCUUUGAAUAUUACCCUUCGUCGCAUGUGAGUAAUGGAGGCAUAUUACCCUUUUUGCUUUGGUUCCAUGCAUGCAUGGUCUUCGAAUAGGAAAACAGACCAUGAUUUUCUCACGUACAUCAUACAUGUUUGCUUCUUCAUUAAAAGGCAAAAAGCAGGUAGCAUCUUGCCGGAAUUUUUAAACUCUGCACACUCAUUUUAUCAUCUAACACUGACUGGUGUGUCAUGUUAAAAAUACUAAUGUUGGCACAUUAAGCACUAUAACAUAAAAUGCAGAGUAUCAUCAAUCUUGAAGUUUCAAGCUAGAUGGUAUUGUACUAUUUAUCAAAUACUCCCUCCAUAUCAAAAUAUAAGACCUUAUUUGACACUACGACGUCAAAAAACAUAUUUUACUUUGAUACAGAGCGAGCACAAUUUUGAUCAAACAGGAGAAGUAUAAAAGGCAGAGCUAGGUUGGUUUUACUUACCUUCAUGAGCUGUCAGGUUGGAUGUUACGCUGAACUGACCAUCCUCGGCAGCGACACUAAUGCAGAUGCAGUUUUAGCUUCUUCACUAAUGAAGACGCUACACUCACAAACCUCGGCAGCGACACCAACGUAGAUGCAAUUUCUGCUUCUCCACUAAUGAGGUCAUCAUCCUAAUAAUAGCCUGUUGACUUCCAGGAAGGCCUUGUUCAGAAUAUUAUUAGGUGGUCUGCUGAUUUCUUGCAUCGUAUAUUAAUUCUUUAAAGAACGAAACAAAUAUGCCCGGUGUUCUUGCCCUCCCAUGCUUGAAGUUCAACCCACAAAGAAGCCACGCGACAUACCCCUGAGGCCGCCAGCGUCUAAUCAAAUUUGGUUAUAGUGGUUUAAGACAUUGACAGUGUGGUAACAUUCACUACAUGCAUGAACAGACAAGCUGCAACUGGUUGUCAACUACGCAUCCAUCAAAGCUAAGACAUGAUCAUACCCUAUGUGAAUCUGCAUCAUGAGUCAUCAUAGUGGGCAAAACUUGUACGCUAGCAGUAGAAGAUACCAUUUAAACAACAGUGGGUAGUAGCAUGGCAAGCAUGGCUCAGUUGGUUGUAGCUUGUACAGCGGAUAUUUGUUUUCUCCAUAAUUGCAUCAAUUAUUUGAAUGCCCCCUUAUCGACAUUAAAGCAACUUGAUUGGUUCCAAUGUGAUUCCUUCUUAUGAAGACUGAAUUGCAUAUCAAAGUUCAAGAUAUAUUGUAUAGUGAUAACUGACAGAACAAGCCAGUUGCUAUUAGCAGGGAACAAUUGGAUGGAUGCGUACUGCAGAUGAGACAGUCACAGUAUCGCGGCGACUGCCAUGUCCUCCUAGCCCUCCUCUCCCCCCUGCUCUGUUAAAAAGCAGGAGUGUUUGAUUAUAUAACAGAAGCUUACUCCUAAAUAAAUUGGUAGCAAAUGAGAAGUCGAAACUGAAACUGGCAAACUACAGCGGUUGCUCUCCUUCGAUGAAACCCACAUGAUGGCUUAGUCCAGCGCCCUAGGGGCCUCCAGUUGGAAGUAGGUGUGCAUCUCCGGCACGCAAAUGACCCUCUAGAUCCCUUGAAGUACUCCGCAUCCGUCCGGAUGGGUGGCAUGGAGGGGGUUGGACGCAGGAUGCGGCCGCCUGUGGUGUCCCGAAGGAAUUUAUCGCGGAAGCUUCGGCUGCACAGGGCCUCCUGUCGCCUACCUCGUGCACUCUGCUGGCUGCGCCUCCCACCUUGUUCUUUGCCGCGCCGCCCCGUUCCACAUGCCCACCAUCCUGCCCCAUCUCCAUCAAUCCUGGCCGAGUGGUGGCCGAGCUCCACUUGCGCGCCUCCACCAGCCCCAAUGGUUCCCCUUCCUCUCGAUCUGAACCAUGUGCUGCGGGAUACAAACUCUGGGAGGCUAUGGUGGGGCGGAGAAUGGCCGGAGGCAACGAGCCGGAUGGGGGCAAGAGGCGGAGAAGGGGGCAUUCGUGUGGGGAGGGGAGAGGAACGGGAGAUGGGCGCUGUAGAGAAAAAACGCUUCAGAUUGGCCUCUUAAAUAAAGGAUUGCGGGUUAAUUGGUAAAAAGCAUAGGGACCUUUAUGUAAAAACGCCGCGACGGUGAACCCGGAGACUCAAUCCGUGCUUUAUUAGGGAAAAAUAAUACAUAUGCCCAUGCGUUGCUAUGGAGAAAAAAUGAUGUGUCCACUAAAACGCCCACGAACGCGGCAUGACAAUAUCCCUGGAAGCUGGGAGGCGCAUGCCGAUAUGUAGAAGAAAUGCAUAUCAUGCUUUAAUCUCCAUUAACUAUGGUGGAUGCAUGUCGUGACACUGAAUGAGUAUAAAUGUUACAUGGUGAGUUCUAUUUAAUCACUGCAUGCAAGAAUUGAAUGUUUCACAUAAUGUAAACAUAUGAGGGAAAGAAAUAAAAAGUAGGACUUACAAACAAAAAACAUAAUGAGAUAGGCUCAACAAACUGAAACAGGGGAGAGUAGUCCCUGGGAGUGCAUUAUAUCUGAAUCGUCGGUGGUAAGAAGCACUUACGUUAUUUCACCCUCGUUGUACAUAUUUAGAAAAUUGAUGAAGUGCAUAUACCAUGAAUUUUGGAUUAAAUACUUUAACAUGCUGUCACCCAGUUCACACUCACAUUUAAUUAAAUGAUAUUUCAAAAAAUGAAAUUGCCUAGAUAUUUGAUCUAUUUAAAAUGAGGGAAUUCACAUGGUGGUUCUCUUUAUAACCCAUACAACAUAUCCUCCCAAUAUUAUUAGAGAGCUCAAAUAAAUUAUUCCAUUAUUUUGAAAUUACCCUUUGCAAUUUAAAUCCAUUUAUUUCUAAAUAUUUUAAGCCAAAUUCAGGGAAACUCAAUUCUUAUUUGGCCUCCAAAUAAAUAUGUUUUUCCAUAAAUAGAAGAAAACCCUCUUCUAUUCUUUACAUCAAAGGCUAGCCCACCUUUCUUUUCCUCCUCCCAGCCCAGUCGGCCUUUUCGCCCAAGGCCCAGCCAACCUCCUUAACCCUAGUCGCCCCCGAGCUCGAUCCCGAUUUGUCUCUGCCUCCUCCUGACCCCCUCCCCCUUGCGCCGCCCCCUUGCGCCGUCACCCACGCAGGAGGGGCAGCCGAGCAGUGCAUCCACGGCCUCCCCCACCGGCGGCGGCAAGGAUCUCACACCCACCCCAGCUCCACCCGCGACCAUCCUCUAUCUUCCAUGCCUUUGUCGCCGCCUCUAGUCCCACUGGUCUUCCCUGCUAUUGUGCUAGCUGCGCCUCCUUGCCCUGCCCGCCGGUGAGUCCCUCCGUUGUGUCAUCCGCGCUUCGUUCCCUCGCAAAUCCAUUUAUUUGCACCCCAAUCAUCAUGGGCGUAUGUAACCUGAUUUUCCUCUUUGUUUCUUCAUGAGGAAGCUUGCUGAUAUCUUAGGCAACUUGCAAACAUAUUUAAGUUGAUACAAUUUAGUGUAAAAAUUUGAGGUGGUACUAUUUAAUUUCCCGCCGAACAAUCCUUGUGACUUGUGAUGUGAUUGUUUGCUAGUUCAGUUGGCUGGACUCUUCGGUUUAGUGGCCCAUAAAAUAAAUUCUGAUGCACACUUAUUUUAGCGAUCCAUAACAUGAACAUACCACUGGCUGGAGGGCUGGAGGCCGACGUACGAAACGGAAACUGCUCGAUCCUGUGUCUCCAUGAAGUGCGGGUUCAUUAAUAAAAACUGCAGGGACCUUUGUGUAAAAAUGCCACGACGGUGAACCCGGAGACUCAAUUUGUGCUUUAUUAUUAGGGAGAGAUAAGAGUUGAUCUACCAAGAGAUCAUAGAGGCUAAACCCUAGAAGCUAGCCUAUGAUUAUGAUUGUUCUUGUCCUACGGACUAAACCCUCUGGUUUAUAUAGACACCGGAGGGGGCUAGGGCUACACAGAGUCGGUUACAGAGAAGGAGAUCUACAUACCCGAAUUGCCAAGCUUGCCUUCGACGCAAAGGAGAGUCCCAUCCAGACACGGGAAGAAGUCUUCAACCUUGUAUCUUCAUAGUCCAACAGUCCGGCCAAAGUAUAUAGUCCGGCUGUCCGAGGACCCCUUAAUCCAGGACUCCCUCACCCCACUUUAGCACCAAUGCAUUGGGAGAGGUCUAAGUAACAAUAUGAUAUCUAGUAAAACUAAAAACACAUAUGAUUUAUUGUGUUAGAGUGUAGUAGUAGUGCUGUAUUGCAUAGUUGUUAGAUGUAACAUGCGAGAAUGUGUAGAGAUGUAGUUUUGGAGGGCCUACAGAGAGAAAAGCGUAAUACGGUCACCGAACUUCAGAAUAAGCUGAUUACGGUCACUAUAUACGUUUUGCGGUGAUUAUACGGUCACUUGCUCAUGGUUCAGCAUCGGAUUGCACUCUGUUGACGUUGACUAGUUAAAUUGACCAUGUUCCUUGUGGGUCCCACCUGUCAGUUCGCAUAGGGAAAAGGUCAGAUAAUCACAAAUUUACGCAGGCGCGUCAAGACUCCAACCCGUGCUUGGGAAUCACCUGGUUGUGUAUGUGUCUGUUAGGGCCUAAUGUGUGCGCAUGCACGUGUAGGUUGAGCACUUGAGCGUGAGAGUGUGUGCUGGUCGUGUGGUGUACUGGUGUGUGCAUGCAUGCAUGCGUGUGUGUGUGUGAGUAUUGCGUGCACACGUGGCCGUGUGUGUACGUGUGAGUGUUGCGUUCGUGCGUGGGUGCAUGUGUUUGUGCGAGUGUUGCAUGCAUGUAGUUCGUGUGCAUGCGUGCAUGUGUGUAUAAUCACCAGACCAGCUCAUGUGUGUUAAAAUAGAUGGCUCAGCAUACCAAUACAAGGCCACCUUGUCCGCUGUGCCCGCGGUCAUGACUUCGAACCACCGUCCAAAUAUUUUGUUGUUGUUUGUUUUCAUUCUUACUAGCAAGAUGCCCGUGCGUUGCACGUAACAUCAAGAUGCAUUUGUAUGACUAGUUUAUCUUGUGAGAGAAAAGGAUGAACGAGAGAAUGCCUUAUUUGCAAAUGUGGAGAGGUGUGUGGGUACCAUUUUGCAAAAUUGCCAUAGUUUCUUUCCUAGCCGUCAGAUAUAAAUCGGACGGUCUAUAUUGCAGGAUGGCAGGCACACCAUCAUCACCAACUCUGUUUUUAUAAGAGUGUAUUUUAUGUAUUUUAUAAGAGUGUAGAUGUAGAGUAGAUACAAGCCGACAGGUGGGCACGAUGGUAGUGAGAUAAUGUGAUGCAACACUAGAGGUGCCAUGUGGAGCGUUUAACUGGUCAACUAGUCAUGUCAUGAGCAAAUACAGAGUUGUACGGUGAGCCCGUGAUUGUAUAAUAACCACUAAACGUAAAUGGUGACCGUAGUGAGUGGAUUCUGAAGUCCAAUGUAUGUAUCGUGCUUUCGCUUCAAAUACAAAGAUCGUCAUUGCAUAUAUUGCGAGAGAAAGAUGAAACAUGUGUGAAUUUUCUGGGGGCUUACUUUUAGAGGACCCGGAGAUAGUUUUGUGUGAUAUGUGAAAGGGGCGUACAGGGGGGUAUGCGAUGGAGAGAAAGAUGCUCUUCGUUUCUCUUUAUUAUGACUAACUUUGUAUAUAGUAUAAAAAUAUACAAAUUCACAGUGCGGAAUAAAUAUCAUUGUGGGCACCAUGUAGUGCAAAUUAGUGUUCGUACUCCUCCAUAUAACUUUGUAAUGUUGUAUAUAUGUAGAAACUCUAAAGUAAUUUUUUGGCCACACUUUAUUCAAAAGGAAUGUUGUAUGCGAAAUAAACGUGAAGAGAGGGCUUUUUAGAACAAUGGGGUACGUGAUGUAACAUGUGUGAAUGUGUAGUUGAUGCAUUUGGCGGGGCCUAGAGAGGUAUGUGUGUGUAUUACGUAAUCGAGAGAGGCAUGGNNNNNNNNNNNNNNNNNNNNNNNNNNNNNNNNNNNNNNNNNNNNNNNNNNNNNNNNNNNNNNNNNNNNNNNNNNNNNNNNNNNNNNNNNNNNNNNNNNNNNNNNNNNNNNNNNNNNNNNNNNNNNNNNNNNNNNNNNNNNNNNNNNNNNNNNNNNNNNNNNNNNNNNNNNNNNNNNNNNNNNNNNNNNNNNNNNNNNNNNNNNNNNNNNNNNNNNNNNNNNNNNNNNNNNNNNNNNNNNNNNNNNNNNNNNNNNNNNNUGAGAGUGGUCUAGAGAGAGAGACGAAUAUGACGUCACGAUGAGAGAUUCCAUUCCCUUGAGUGUGUAUAUGCAAGGGGGGAGGGAAUAGAGGCACCAAGAGAUUUUUUUUGUGUGUGUGUGGUGUUUGUGUUGGUAUGUGUGGGUGUGAGAAGAUAAUGAGACGUGGGGGCAGAGUGUGUGUCACCGCGUGAGGUCCGGUGGGUCGAGGUGAGGCCCUUCGUUCGGUUCCGACCUGCGCCACAUUGGUCGGCCCGUGAUGCAUUUAGGAAGACCCAUGGAUGACUAGUCGUACAAGACAAAGGUAGCAGAAUUGUGAAGGACUCUGUGUCCACUGACAAAGCCGGCUAGGAUUUGUAACCCUAGGUUCUCGGACUAAGGCAACCCCUUUAUCUCUGAUAUUACUAUUCAUCAAACCUAACUUUAAGGGGCAUCCUAUAGAAUGCUCUGCUAGAAUCAUACUCGUCGAUUAGGAAGAGAGGUGUGAGACAAUGGGUGAGAGACAGGCCUAAAGAUAAUGUGCGUACAUGAGACACGUAGGCAGGUCCAUGUAUAUAGAAAGGGUCGAUGGGGAUUGUGCGUGUGUAUGCUUGCGAGAGGAAGAGUGCUUGUGAUAAAGGUUAGUGAAAACAGUUCUAAAUGGUUAUGAGAGGGAGGGAGGGUUAUAUCUAGAGCAUGUGUGCGAGAAAGACACCUCGGGAGAGAGUGUGUGAGCAUGUGUGAGAGACCACCGAUGGAGAGUGAAACUACACGUAAAAGACUGCUGUACACAUUAAUUAAAGAUAUAAAUUGUAUCCAAAUAUUAGGAUGGGAUCAUGAUAUUUGCAAUGCACGUAAGGAGCGGUCAUUGAUCCAUCAGACAUCUAGAUUCUAUCGAAUUUGAACAUGUCUAUGUUAUUAUUCGACACAAUUGAUCCACAUAAUUAGUAUUUUGAACUCCAUACAAUGCAUUGCUUUAGCAAUUAAAUAUAAACGUGAGUAUAGUUCAUGUUGUGUGUGUAAAGCACAUUAUACAUACGAAAGUUACACAAUGAACAUUAUAAAUAGCUACCUAUGAACUAGCAUACAUUUGAAUUCAACUUAAGGUGGUUUAAAAAAAAUCCAAUUCAACAUGAAGUCCAUUCAAUUAUUUGAAUUUGAUAUCAUGGCAUUUGUAAAUCAUACCUAAAUUAUGGGGGCACCAAUCUUUGCUCUGUUUUUAUACAUAAUAGCAUACGUAAUCGUGUACAAAAUAGAUUCAAAUUUAGCUCCUCCAUUCCAAAAUAAUCAUAGUUAUAGGAUUUUCAAGUGUCAAAAUUUCAAAAAGAAGCGGAUAAUUUAAUGAGGUUUUCAAACAUACAAGGUCAAAUAUAACGUUGUCUAUUUAGGUCAAUCCUCAUAGUUCAAGAGUACGCUAAACCGGAAUGCCUGUGUUUCAAAAUUUUGAACGAAGCGCCAAAAGAGCCUCUACUCGUCCGAAACCGCGUGAGACCAAUGUUUGGUAGUACAAGGAAAUUACUUUUCUAAUAACUCCGACCCGUGAAACCUACCGGCCCGACUUGCAAAGGUCUAAACCGGGGUAGGUUUGUAGCUUCAUCUAGACGCCACGCAACCGCGUCCAAAAAACAUUCAUACACAAUGGCCGCCUAAGCACACAUGCGCGCGGCCGAAAUCGCUCCCGCCCACUAUUUGGGACACCUGGGAUUACCACCCUACCCCCGACCCACAGUUGGUCCGAAAUUUAAGAGAGGGGCAAAGUUUGUACUUUCUCCAAAUUUCAAACAAGCGCGUCCCAUCUUCUGUUCAGAAAAGCCAAAAACAAGUGCGUCCCAGGCCGAAACAUGGUUCCCCCUCCCCACCCGUCUGAUUCCCCAUUCGUACUCCGUGGGUGCCAAAACUACCUCUCCACCAGUCGUGAAACCCCGGCGUCCUCUGUCCGCCACCCCAUCCCACCCAUCAACCGCCGCCCUCCUCCAUCACGCUGGAGCCGAUACCCCGACGUCAUCGUCCACCGCAACCUCAACCGCAGCGCCCUCCACGGCUAGUAGUUGAAGCCGAGGCUGAGCCGUCCGUACCCGAGCCAGUUCAACCACGCCGUCUUGCGCCUCACCGCUGCCGCUCCAACUUCGCCACCAUCCACCGCACCGGAGUUGUUCCUGCUAUGCCGUCCUUCGCCGCCUCGGUCUGCUUCCCCUCCGCUGAUAUACGGCCACGGCAACACAGUAAACAAUUUGGCCAUGGGUUUGUCCAAGGAUCCACAGCUCUCCAAAACAUCGAUUCCCCCGGGAAAAACAAGAAGAUCGCCGCGACAUAUUGACACCACACUGGCAACCGAUAACAGUACUCCUCUUCCCUUAUUCGUGAAAAUCUUACGUGUCUGCUUGCACGGUAUUCAUCCCACAGAAGACACUAGUUGACUGCUUCUUCUUCAUACUAGAUGUUCUUAAUAACUCACGAUGCACAUGGUUUCUCCUCAUAUACUAUUUCACCUUAGCUAGUGGUCCGUCGCCCCCCUGAAUUUCAAUUUCUGGCCAGUUGAUUCCCAAUUAACGGAAGCAUUCCCCGAUGUAACAUGCGCUAGUACGCCUAUUACACCGGGGAAGCAGUGCCUUGGUGUUUAUCUUAGGGGCGUGUGCGGCCUAGAGCUACUGGCGCCCGAUCUGGAGGUCGGCCGGGAUUAAAGGGAUGGCCUGGGGGCGCUGCCAAGAACGGCGGUGGUGUGAGGUCGAUGGGAGGGCGGGGCGGCGGAAGCAGGGGUCUGGGACGGUGGUCGCUGGCGGUUCAAGAAAGAUCGUCAAUAGUGACUGGUGGGAGGUAUACGAAGGCCAUCUACCCGUUCCUUAUAGAUCGGACAGUUCAUUAAAAAAAUUGUCUGACCUAUUUAUUUUCAGUUGACUGUUAUCUUAGAUAUGACCACAUGUGGUGGUGUGCUGGAGGAGUACCUGCAUUUCCUGUGCUCAUAUAUUACAAAAUCAUAUGGAGUAGAAUCUAAUUUUGUUUGCCAUGCAAUGUUGUAGAGCUAUCAUAUGUCUCCUGUCAUUUAUUUUUUAGCCACCUGCUAUCUGCUACUUUUACAGUGCACUAGUUCUGCACACACUUCACCCAUACUCUCACUAUUAUGUUUUUAUGCAAGGGUAUUUCAGAGUCUGCCUCGAGAGAAGCAAAAAAGAUAAGAGAGAAGUUGACCCAGCUUUCUUCGCGGUUAGGCAUGACACGUUACAUCGCUAUAAAGGGUGCAGUGUUAGCAGAUGGAGACGGUGAACGUAGCUCUAGAGUUGAUGACCUCGCUCGCAAUGAACCACCAUCCCAGGUGCUUGCUUUAACUUCGCGGUGUCAUAUGUGGUUGCAUGUUCCAUAUGGUGUCUAGCUUGUAUUCGAAAGGCCGAAGUCGGUCUUUAUUAAGAUAAGGAAAGAUAUUAUUUUACAUGUACAACCAUCCCGUGAGCACCAGAAGUCAAAUAGCUAGUCAGGGCACUGGUUGAGCCAAUGACAAGCCCAGCAAAGAUAGGCAUCUCCUGGAAGCCAAAUAAAAAGCUGCGAUGGUGGCAAAGCAGCCCGCCUCCCACCAGGCUCUCAGGUCCUAGAUGAUAAUGCUCACCACUCCAGCCGGAUGUCUAGCUUGUAUUGCUUCCAAUUUGAUUAAAUUGCAUCUGCUUAGCUUACACAUUAUACCUUUGAAUAUGACAUGCCUUUCUAUUUUUGGUACAUACUAGUACACCUAUGUAUUAACCAUGUUCUUACAUCAAACUAAUGUUUUUGUGUAUCCCUCAACAAUCACUUAUGAUGAGGCAGGUGGGCAAGGGGACUACUCCUCAUUUAAAGAAUGCAGCGUCAGCCUCCCGACAUGAUUCUCAAGAAACAGAAAUGCUAGAUGAAGAUAGUGAACGUAGCUCUAUAGUUGAUUACAAUAUUUCCCCUACACUAGCAUCGCAGGUGCUUGCUCUAACUUGGCAGCGUGAUAUGUGGUUGCAUGUUGCAUAUGGUGUCUAGAUUGUAAUUCUUCCAAUCUGGUUAAACUGCAUGUGCUAGUCUGCUUAGCUUAUACAUUAUACCUGUUAAUGUGACAUGCCUUCCUGUAUUUAGUACAUAGUACAUCUGUCUAUUAAGCAUGUCCUUACAUAAAACUAUUGUUUUUUUGUAUCCCACAUCAAUCAAUAUGACGAGACACCUUUAGUAUAUGCAGUGCGAUAUUAGUUGCAUCUUCCAUAUGAUUUAUAGCAUGCGCCGCUUCUAAUUUGUUGAAAUUCCAUUUAUGAUGGGACGCUUUUAACUUGGCAGAGUCAUAUUGGUUGCAUCUUUCAUGUGGUGUCUAGCUUGCAUUGCUUAUUAUUUGUUGGAAUGGUUUCUGCUUAGUUUACAACAGUUGUGAACAAGCCAUGUCGUCCUGUCUUUCGUACAUAUUCCAUCCUGGUAUCAUGUGUUUGCCUUAUAUCAAAGUAGUGGUUGUCAGUAUCAUGCAUGAAUGAGUUCUCAAGAGAGAAUUUUAUUGCUUUUUCUUGUUGGUUUUACUUGACAAUUCAAAAUCAAUAAAGCGGAAGGAAGUUAACAAGGCAACGGAUAAAGGUGCUCCUUCCGAACGGAGGGCCUCUACAGUUUCUACUCCUCCACACCCCCAAGAUGAUUUCCAAGACAACACAUGCAUAGACACUCAACAAAGUUGUGUUUAUGAUGAGCACGUCUCCCCUAGUGCACCAUCACCGGUGUUCCCUCUAACUUGGCACUGUUAUAUGUGGUUGCAUGUUAUGUGUGAUGUCUAGCUUGUAUUGCUUCUAAUUUUGUCGAAUUCCAUUUGCUUACUUUACACACUAUACUUGAAUAAGACACGUGUUCCUAUUUCUAGAACAUACAACAUCUGUCUAUCACACCAUGUUCUUACAUAAAAUUACUACUGUUGUGUGACCUGCAACAAUCACUUAUCAUAAGACACUUUUGACUUCGGAGUGUGAUAUAGGUUACAUCUUGCAUUCUUUUCUAGCUUGUACUACUAAUUUGUUGAAAUGGCACUUAUGACGAGACAGUUUUAACUUGGUAGAGUGAUAUUCGUUGCAUCUUUCAUAUAGUGUCUAGCUUUCAUUGCUUCUAAUUUGUUGAAAUGCCUUCUCCUUAGUUUACACAUCAUAAGCUGUGAAUAUGCAAUGCUGUGAAUAUGCAAUGGCACUAAUGACGAGAGACCUCUAACAUGGUAGUGUGAUGUUGUUUGCAUCUUGCAUAUGAUUUAUUUCUUGUACUGCUUCACAAUUGUUUAAACGCCAUUUAUGAUGAGACACUAUUAACUUGGCAAGCGAUAUUUUUAGCAUCUUUCAUAUGGUGUCUACCUUCCAUUACAUUGCUUCUAAUUUGGUGAAAUGUCUUCUUCUUAGUUUACACGUCAUAGUUCUGGUUAUCUCUUUCAUCCUAUUUUUCAUACAUAUUACAUCCUCCUAUCAUGUGGUUGUCUAACAUCAAAGUUCAGUUCAUCCGCAUCAUGCAUCAAUUUGUUCUAAAGAACUAAAUUUUUAUUUGUUUUUCUUGUCGGCUUGACUUAACAUGGCAUAGAGAAAGAGGAAUAAACACAGAAUGGCAGGGAAUGAGAAGCGGAUGAAUCCUGCAGAUUCUGCUGGUACUGAUGGUGCAAUAGAAGGUCAAAGUCCAGCAGAAAAUUCUACAAACACGACAUCCCAUGCUACACGAGCUGCAAAAAAGCCAAACAGAAACAAAUAGCUGCCACCAAACUAGCAGAGACAUCCCUAGUUCUUGCAACACCUACCACAGUACUACCAGCUGCACGAGUUACUCGUGUGUCAACUGAGCUAGCAGCAUGUUCCCAAGCUCCCUUGCCACCUGACACUACUUCCCAAGCACUCUUGACACAAGACGAGUUGGCAAUAUCAGAUGAACCUUGUGAGCUUCAACAGCAAGAAUGUAGUUGCUGGAGUCAAGUUACAGUUGCAUGCUUCUUUAUAUGUAGUCUCACAGUUUGAUGUACACUAACACUUCCUAUGUUCGUUGUUGGACUAGCACCUAGGCGCAAGAGGAAACAAACAUCAGGGAUAAUGCUCGAUAGGUUAACUAAAUCUAGAGGUGGAAGAAUGGAGAUCCUUUUUGAGGCAGGUUUAAAAAGGCCACGUGAUGCUACAUAGUCAGCCAAGUUAGUAUCAUAGGCAGCGGUUGCCGUUAGGUGUCAUGUACGUAUCCUCCCAACAUGGAUUCAAUACAGGAAUGACAAAGACAAACCCAGUUCAACACCUUCAUCGACCAUUUAUCUAUAUGUAUGGUUAUGUAUGGAAACUAGUAAUAUCGUCUUGCUCUGUCCCAUACUUUCUAGGUUGCUGAUAAUGAGACUCCCAUAAUUUUCAACAGAUGAGGUUCAAGUUGGAUAGCCAAGAUGAUGCAACCAGACAAGCUUGCACCCAUGUUUUCAAGUCCGCUCUGCGACAGUAUCGGUAUAACUUGAGGAAAACUCACUUUGAAGGCAAGGCUAACAGUGAACUUUCCCAAACAUCUCCAGUGGAAAAUAUAUCGGAUGAAGACUGGAGGGGCCUUGUUAAACACUGGUCUGAUCCGAAGUAUCAGGUACAUUAUAUAUAUGUGAUCAGAUCACAUGUUGAAGUCCUAUUUACGCAUGUGCCACACAAAUCUAUCUUCUUGUAGGUGAACUAUUCAAAGAACAAGGCCAACCGUACGAAAGUGAAAUUCCAAUAGACGACAGGAUCUCGUAGCUAUAUUGCACACUGCGAGGCUCUUGUAAUUAGCUACUGUUUCACUCUUUUCAUUGUACCAUAUUAUCAGAUCUAUAUUGACUUGUCCGAAAUGCAGAGGGAAGCCCGCAAGGACCAAAAAGUACCUGAACCAAAUGUUAUGGAAAUCUUCAAGGACUGUCACACCAGCAAGAAGAAGGGCAUGACUACACCAGUCAAAGCCGCUGUUGUAAGUCCGUAAUACUCAUGCCUUUUAACUACUACUUACUCUGACUUGUGCCUUGAACUGCAUGGUUUGCAGCCAAUGUCUAUUACUCUUUUGAAUUUUAUACAGAAUUGUCUUAGCGUAUCAUUGCACCUUACAAGGUUUAAAAGAGAGGAGUGAUGUUCCUUUGAUCUUGACCCGUAAUCUAGUUCCGUGAUGGACUUGCCCACACAAUGUUACAAUUGCCUGUUUUUCUGUUCUCAGUUGUUUUGUGAUAUGAAUGAUGUCAUACUAUGCUUACCGUAUUAGAAACUUCAUCUCUUUAUCCUUAGCCCUCAAUACAAUGUGGAGAAAUAGACAAUACAUUAGAGAUGGUACAUGGUCAUAUGUUUGGAACCUGGUUUUAUUAUAUACUUUGUAAUAAAAUACAACUAAUAUUUUACAUGGGUUCACCAGAAUAAGUUCUGUAUAUAGACCAAAGCUAUUUUGUUUGGUUUUGCUACCUCCUUAAUAUUUUCUAUUCUGGUACUACUAAUGUAAAACCUCAACUUUUCAGCGAGCUAUGGAAAAAAUUGUGGAACCGCCACCUUCUGAAGGUGGCGAGGCAACUAUAACCGCAAUGUCAGCUCUUGCUGCAGUGGGUCAAUACCUGUCCACUAACAGUGCCAAAAGCACGUUCCUGCGUAAUACUGGGUUGGUUGUUAAGGCAAUAUCGUCCAAACUACCUCAUGAUCAAGAUAUGCAAGCUCAAAGCAAUGUUGUAUCUGCGCUCCAGACACAAGUCCAUUCCCUAACAGAGACCCUUUUGUGAAACAAGGAGAGACAUUGUUCGAUGUCGUCAAGAUAUGCAUGGUUUUCAAACCAGACUAUCAGACAUUUGCUAUGUUGUUUAGGAGCCUAGGGGAAAUGAAGGCGAGGGUUAUGGUGCUCCAUCGGACAAUACACCAUGAAAACGUAACGGUCAGGUCAAAUGAACUGAGCUUCUGAACUUCUGGUGGUGCAUUUAUAUGCUAGACUGUUAAGUUUUAUGCCAACCUUCCUUUUGUUAUAUAGUUGUAAUUUGUUUUGGUGCGAUACAAAAUUUCUUCUUAACAUGUAGCCACCGGCUGAAGAAAAUAGCAAGCCAUUUUUGUAUAGUGUAGGUUGUUCCCUAUAUUUGCACUGGUGGCGAUCUUUGAUGCCGAGUGGAUGUAAUCUAUGCAAUCGCCUUAAUAGCCUAGCGUUAGUUUCAGCCUUAUUUUUUUCCUAGUCUUCUUUUCCCUGGUUUGCUAGUGGCCACAACAACCAUGGGCCAUAUACGGGCCGUAGGAUCCAUGGGCCAUAUAUGGGCCGUAGGAUCAAUGGGUCUCCUACGGGUCGUAGGAUCCAUGGGUCUCCUACAGGCCGUCGAUAAAUGGGCCUCCAAUAGGGCCGUAGAAUCGGUGGGCCUCAGGCCGUCGGAUAAAUGGGUCUACAUGGGCCGUAAAUGGGCGUAAUUGGUAUUGGCCCAGCACGAUAACGGGUCGUUAACAGCUAUAAGAUAGCAAAGGCUUAAUUCUGUCACAGGCAUAACGGGUCGUUAAUGGGCCAGAAUAUAGGAUAGUCCGGAAACAACGCAAUGGGUUAACAGGCCAGAAGCGGGCUGACUCUUGCCAUGGGCCGAAUUUGGCCCAUUAGGGGAACAGGACAGUAAUGGGCCGACUCUUGCCAUGGGUCGAAUUUGGCCCAUUAGGGGAACAUGCUAGUAAUGAGCCAGAAGUAAUCGAGGGCCAAAAAGGAGCCCAAGAACGUAUGGGCCGUCAAUAAGCCGAAAGCUAACACGGGCUGGAAACGGCCCAUGUAAAUCACGGGCCGUUAAUGGGUACAAAGAAAAUUACUGUUCAUUGUAGGCUAGAGUUACCGUGGGCCUGUAAAGGGCCGAAAGAUACGAAGGCCUCAUAUGGGCCGAAAGACGUCGUGGGCCAUACAUGGGCCGAAAGUGAAAUGGGUUGGUGUUAUAUUCGACAGCCCACAUGACGUUGUUGGGCCGAUUUCCUUUAGGGCCUAACGGGCCGUGAGUUACCGGGCCGUAAAAUGGGCUAUUUGCAAAGAGACCGUUAACACGCUUUUCAUGGGCCAGCCCGUUAACUUUUGACCAAGUCAAACAGGCCGGCUUUGUAAGCUAAAUGGGCCAGUGGUGGGCCGUGGCAUGUGUCGACAUAUCAUAGGCGCCUAUCUGACCCACUGACGAGCUGACACGUGUUUCAUCUGGCCGAUAAGAAUUUUACACAUUGAAAUUUCCCAUUGGUUGGGGUUGUUAACGGGUUAUCGGAUCCAAAACCUGACCCGAUAGCUUAACGGCGUUCCGUUACGGUGGAUGCCACGUGUCGGUCACCCUUGACGGAAGCACUUCUGUGACGCGCGAUUUAUUAUCAUGGAAGUGGACACUCCAUGAUGAUAAUUUUGGUAAUGUCAUGGAACACUUCUACGACAGCACAAGUAUGACUAUCUUGAUUCUGUCAUAAAAUCAUCAUGGAUGUACAUGCAUGACAAAAAACGCGACCUACUGUGACAAACAUGUAUCAUCACGGAAGUGUAUUUUUUUGUAGUGCUAGCUAGGCACUCAAUUCAUAAGUAGCUCGCAUGAUAGAUUCAUAAGGUAAUUUAACUUUAUUUCUUGGAAAGUGCUCCAUGCCUUUCCUUGAUGGAAAUUGUAAUCUAAUAUUCCCUUCCUUCAUAUCAAUAAUCGCACCAAUCGUUCUAAGGAAAGGUCUACCAAGAAUAAUUGGGCAAGAAAGAUUGCAAUCUAUAUCAAGAACGAUAAAAUCUACGGCCACCAAAUAUCUAUUUGCAACAAUGAGAACAUCAUUGAUCCUUCCCAUUGGCUUUUUAAUGGUGGAAUCCGCAAGGUGCAAAUUUAAAGAGCAAUCAUCAAGAUCAUGGAAACCUAGAAUGUCACAUAAAGUUUUCGGAAUUGUGGAAACACUAGCACCUAAAUCACAUAAAGCAUAACACUCAUGAUCUUUAAUUUUAAUCUUUAUAGUAGGUUCCCACUCAUCAUAAAGUUUUCUAGGUAUAGAAACUUCCAAAUUAAGUUUUUCAUCAAAAGAUUGCAUCAAGGCAGCAACAAUAUCUUUGGUAAAAGCUUUAUUUUGACUAUAAGCAUGAGGAGAAUUCACAACGGAUUGCAAUAAGGAAAUAGAAUCUUCUAAAGAAAAAUUAUCAUAAUUAAAUUCCUUGAAAUCCAAGAUAGUGGGUUCAAUGCUAUUUAAAGUCUUGACCUCUCCAAUCCCACUUUUACCAAAUUUAGCAUCAAGAUCUAAAAACUCCGAAUCAUUGGGACACCUUUUAACUAAAGUUGACUCAUCUACAGUCCCAUCAUUAUUAAGAUUCAUAUUGCAAAACAAAGAUCUAAUAGGGGACACAUCAAUAACUUGAAGAUCUUCAUCAUUAUUUUCAUGGAAACUAGAAGAACACGCCUUUAUAAAGCAAUCUUUCUUAGCACACAUCUAGCGGUUCUUUCUUUGCACUCAUCAAUGGAAAUUCUCAUAGCUUUGAGAGACUCAUUAAUAUCAUGCUUAGGAGGAGUAGAUCUAAGUUUCAAAGAAUCAACAUCAAGCGAGAGUCUAUCAAUGUUCCUAGCCAAAUCAUCAACUUUGAGCAAUUUUUCUUCGAGCAAGGCAUUACAAUUCUUUUGAGAGAUCAUAAAUUCUUUCACACUAUUCUCAAAAUCAGAGGGCAUCUUAUUAAAAUUACCAUAAGAAUUAUUGUAGGAAUUUCCAUAAUUAUUAGAGGAAUUACUAGGGAACGGUCUAGAAUUAAAAUUUCCUCUAUAAGCAUUGUUACCAAAAUUAUUCCUACCAACAAAAUUCACAUCCAUAGAUUCUUUAUUAUUCUCAAUCAAAGUAGACAAAGGCAUAUCAUUGGGAUCAAUUGGAGCACUCUUAGUAGCAAACAAUUUCAUAAGUUCAUCCAUCUUUCCACUCAAAACAUUAAUUUCUUCUAUAGCAUGCACUUUUUUACUAGUAGAUCUUUUUGUGUGCCAUUGAGAAUAAUUAGCCAUAAUAUUAUCAAGGAGUUUUGUAGCAUAUCCUAAGGUGAUUUCCAUAAACGUGCCUCCCGCGGCCGAAUCUAAAAGAUUUCUAGAAGCAAAAUUCAAUCCGGCAUAAAAAUUUUGUAUGAUCAUCCAUAAAUUCAAACCAUGAGUAGGCAAUUGCGAAUCAUCAAAUUCAUUCUUUCCCAAGAUUGGGCAACAUGCUCAUGAUCAAGUUGUUUAAAAUUCAUAGUAUCGUUCCUAAGAGUGAUGAUCUUAGCGGGAGGAAAAUACUUAGAGAUAAAAGCAUCUUUGCACUUGUUCCAUGAAUCAAUACUAUUCUUAGGCAAAGACGAAAACCAAACUUUAGCACGAUCUCUAAGAGAAAACGGAAGUAACCUAAAUUUAACAAUAUCAUUAUCCGUAUCUUUCUUAUUUUGCAUCUCACACAAAUCAACAAAGUUGUUUAGAUGGGUAGCGGCAUCUUCACUAGGAAGGUCGGCGAAUUGGUCUUUCAUAACAAGAUUCAGCAAAGCAGUAUUGAUUUCACAAGACUCAACAUCAUUAAUAGGAGAAAUCGGAGUACUAAGGAAAUCAUUAUUAUUGGUAUUGGAGAAAUCACACAAUUUGGUAUUAUCUUGCACCAUUGCGACAAGUAAUCCAACACACAAGCAAACAAAAAGGCAAACGAAAGAGAGAGAAGAUUGGGAAAGAGAGGGCGAAUAAAACGGCAAGGGUGAAGUUGGGGAGAGGAAACGAGAGGCAAAUGGAAAUUAAUGUAAAUGUGAGGGGGGUGAGUUUGUGAUGGGUACUUGGUAUGUAUUGACUUGAGCGAAGACCUCCCUGGCAACGGCGCCAGAAAUCCUUCUUGCUACAUCUUGAGCUUGUGUUGGUUUUCCUUGAAGAGGAAAGGGUGAUGCAGCAAUAGUAGCGUAAGUAUUUCCCUCAGUUUUUGAGAACCAAGGUAUCAAUCUAGUAGGAGGCUCCUCAAAAGUCCCAUGCACCUACACAAAGAAACAAAGAACUCGCAACCAACGCAAUAAAGGGGUUGUCAAUCCCUUCAUGACAACUUGCGAAAGUGAGAUCUGAUAGAGAUAGUAUGAUAAGAUAAAUAUAUUUUUGGUAUUUUAUAAUUGUAACGCCCCGGAUCCGAUGCGCCAGGUGUCUGCCAGUUAUUCUCCGUCGUUGCCAUGUCAUUUGCUUGCGUGUUGCAUUUUAUCUUGUCAUCAUGUGCAUUGCAUUGCAUACGUGUUCGUCUCAUGCAUCCGAGCAUUUUCCCCGUUGUCCGUUUUGCAAUCCGGCACUCCUAUGCCCUCCGGCGUUCCCCUUUUGCCUCCUGUUGUGAGUGGGUGUUAAACGUUCUCGGAAUGAGCCGAGUCUUGCCUAGCGGCCUUGGUAUACCACCGAUAGACCGCCUGUCAAGUUUCGUGCCAUUUGGAGGUCGUUUGGUACUCCAACGGUUAACCGGGUAACCAUAAAGCCUCCUUCUCUUUGCAGCCCAACACCCCUUCCAAAGUGGCCCAAAACCCAUCCAACUCCCCUCCAUGCUCUCGGUCAUUCGAUCACGAUCGUGUGGGCAAAAACCGCUCCUCAUUUGGACUCUCCUAGCUCCCUCUACCUAUAAAACUAGCCCCUCCCUCGAAAUUCAUGGUCCAAACCCCCCGAAACCCUAGCUUCGUCCUCAUCCCGCAGCCGGACACGCCCGGACCCCGCCGGACAUGUCCAGCCUCCACCUCACCCCAGCCAAUCCCAGUGCGCCACGUCACCCCGCCACCACUCUCCUCCAACCGCCAGCCUCCACCUCACCCUCUCUCUCCUCCCCCCACACGGCCCGUGGGACCCNNNNNNNNNNNNNNNNNNNNNNNNNNNNNNNNNNNNNNNNNNNNNNNNNNNNNNNNNNNNNNNNNNNNNNNNNNNNNNNNNNNNNNNNNNNNNNNNNNNNNNNNNNNNNNNNNNNNNNNNNNNNNNNNNNNNNNNNNNNNNNNNNNNNNNNNNNNNNNNNNNNNNNNNNNNNNNNNNNNNNNNNNNNNNNNNNNNNNNNNNNNNNNNNNNNNNNNNNNNNNNNNNNNNNNNNNNNNNNNNNNNNNNNNNNNNNNNNNNNNNNNNNNNNNNNNNNNNNNNNNNNNNNNNNNNNNNNNNNNNNNNNNNNNNNNNNNNNNNNNNNNNNNNNNNNNNNNNNNNNNNNNNNNNNNNNNNNNNNNNNNNNNNNNNNNNNNNNNNNNNNNNNNNNNNNNNNNNNNNNNNNNNNNNNNNNNNNNNNNNNNNNNNNNNNNNNNNNNNNNNNNNNNNNNNNNNNNNNNNNNNNNNNNNNNNNNNNNNNNNNNNNNNNNNNNNNNNNNNNNNNNNNNNNNNNNNNNNNNNNNNNNNNNNNNNNNNNNNNGCCUCGCCUCCAGCCGGGCGUGCCCUCGCGCCGCCGAGCUCCGGCCGCCGCCCAGGACGCCGCCGCCGCCGCCCUCCUCUGCCGGCGCCGCCCCGCCAUCGCCCUCCUCCGUCGACUCCGGCGAUCCCCUCCGUUCAUCCUCGAGCUACGUGCAGCUACAGUACCGGCUGGAUCCAGAUCCAGAUUCGAUUUGAGGUUGCCCCGAAAUCCUCUAAGUCCCAGAUUUCAGUAAUUUUCAUGCCAUGUUUGACCUGCUGUAUCUCUGCAUCCGUAGCUCCGUUUCAUGCGUGUAAUAUGUCAAAUUGUUCGCCUCGACGAGUACAUCAUUUCGUUCCAUUGCACCAUUUUCAUUUGAGGUCAUCCUGAUGCCUGAAUCAUCGUUGUAAGAGUGCUUCAUAAUGUUUUCUGCUGUCUAUUAUCAGAACGAGCUCUUUUGUCAUUUUUGCCAUGAUUGAUGUGUGUAUCCUAUGAGGUUGAUGUCUUCAUGUGUUUUGAACUAUGCUAUGUCUUCUUUACAGAGGUGCUUACCAUGUAUUUUUAUGAUCAAUGUGGUGACUAGCACAAGCAUGUAAACUAGGCAUCGUGAUGUUGCUGAUUUUAGUCCCUGUUCUGCUGUAAUUUUAAUGCCAUGUAAACAUGAUGCUACAGAGAGAUCCAUGCAUAUUUAGAGAUACUUCAGUAAGGGUGUUUUGAACAUAUGAUGUUUGUCUAUCCAUUUAUGCCCUUGGUUGCAAUUAUGGAGUAGUCUAGCAUGUUACUUGAGUGCUCUACUUUUGCUUCAAAAUGUUUCCUGGCAGAUUGUUUACGUGUUAUCCAAUUUGGCCAAGCUUGCUAUAGUUGAUCCUUGCAUGCUAUGGACUUGUUCUUGACUUGGUUUGUUUCACAAACAUGUCUUCUUGAUGAUGCUAUGCUUAUCUUGUCAUGCAAUGACUUGUGGUGAGUGAAUCGAGCUUGUUAAGUAGUGUACAUGAUGUUGCUAUUUUGCUAGGCUGAAUCUGUUAUUUCGCGAUGCUAUGUAAACCUGCUUCUACUAAUCAUUCUAUGCAUAAUCUGGAGAUGUUAUAUAAAUAUGUUUUGAUCUACAUGUCAUCCUCUAAUCAUACAAGCCCCUGGUUGCAUUUAUAACUUGCUGUAUCUUGUUCAUAUAUUGCUCCAAAGUUGCUUCAUAAUGUUGCUGUCAGCCUGUUAACAUUAAGUUCACUUGUUCCCAUGUGUUUUGCUAGUGAUGCAUGCACCCUAUGACCUUGCUAUUGCCAUGCUUAGCUUCAAAAAUAUGUCUUCUUACUGUUGGGUGCCUUUCCAUGCCAUGUAUUUCUCUAUGGUGAGUGGUACAAGCUCAUCUACAUGCCUUCAUAAUUCUGUUUCUGCCAUGUUUGAAUCUGUAUAAUAACUUGCUAUGUUUACAUGGGUGCCAUCAUAUCUUCUGGUCCUUUUUGGCUUAUGGUCAGUAAGGGACUCUUGGUCUAUGCAAUUAGUAGAUUCAUGCCAUGCCUUUUUUUGCCAUGAUAAGUUCCUGUAACAUGUUGUUUGAUAGCUCUAAACGUUGCAUCGUGAUGUUAUUUUCUGCAAAGUCUGAAUUGUUAUUACUUUGCAAUUUUACCAUGUAUGUUUGAGCAUGUUCUAGUGAUUUCUGGAGUUAGCUCAGUGUUCAUGUUUUAUAAUGCUUUACCUGUACAUCAUGCCCAUGUCUUUUAUUUUCAUAUUGUGGUGCUGUAGCAUGUUGUUUUGAUGCUUGCAAUAUGCCUAGUUGCUGUUUUGGACAGAUUGUUGUUAUAACUUAUAUAGUGUGCAUGUGUUGAACCGUUGCUCCGUUUUGAGUGUGCUCUAUAUGAAACUUGCUUAGAAUUGCAUGUAGUUUCAUAUUAUCAUGUUGUAUCCUUGUUUUGAGGUGUUUGCUUGAUGUUUGGGUGCAUUUUGCAUCAGUGCCAUGUUUAACUUGUUUUGCUCAUAUCUUCUAGGCCGUAGCUCCGAACUAAAUGAUCUUUAUAUGUAACUUGACUAGAAUCUCGUGUAGAUCAUCUUGGUGAAUCUUAACUUGCUGUUUAACAACUUGAACAUAAGGUUUAUUCAGAUCUGGACCAAUUUCGAAAUAUGCAUAUGAGGACUUACCGGAAUUGUUAUAUGUUGUUCCCGGCCUCAUUUAAACUUGCCAUGAUGUGUUGCUCUUGUUUGCAUCAUCUCUUGCCAUGAGUAGCUUCAUGUAGCCUUGUCAUGCAUCAUGCUUCGUUGUGCAUCAUUCCUUGUUCAUGUGUGGUGUGUUUACUAUGUUGUGUGCUUCUUCUUGUUAGUUCCUGUUUCGUUGGGAUCGUGAGGAUUCGUUCGUCUACGAUUGGUUCGGCUUCAUCUGUUCGUCUUCUUCAUGGACUCGUUCUUCUUCCUUGUGGGAUUUCAGGCAAGAUGACCGCUACCCUAGAUCUCACUACUAUCAUUGCUAUGCUAGUUUUUUCGUUCUAUCGCUAUGCUGCGCUACCUAUCACCUGUUUAUCAAGCCGUCCCAAAUUGCCAUGAACCUCUAACCUUUGACACCUUUCCUAUGCAAACCGUUGUUUGGCUAUGUUACCGCUUUGCUCAGCCCUCUUAUAGCGUUGCUAGUUGCAGGUGAAGUUGAAGAUUUCUCCAUGGUGGACAGGAUUUUGGUUGGGAUAUCACAAUAUCUCUUAUAUUAUUAAUGCAUCUAUAUACUUGGUAAAGGGUGGAAGACUCGGCCUUUUGCCUGGUGUUUUGUUCCACUCUUGCCGCCCUAGUUUCCGUCAUACCGGUGUUAUGUUCUCGGAUUUUGCGUUCCUUACGCGGUCGGGUGAUUUAUGGGACCCCCUUGAAAGUUCGCUUUGAAUAAAACUCCUCCAGCAAGGGCCAACCUUGGUUUUACCAUUUGCCUCACCACCACCUACCCUUUCCCUUGGGUCGGCCAACCCAGGGGUCAUCUUUAUUUUAGCCCCCCCGGGCCAGUGCUUGUCUAAGUGUUGGUCCGAACUAGAGCCCUUUGCAGCGCCCCCUCAGGGAAACUUGAGGUCUGGUUUUAGUUGUAUGGAUUGCUCAUCCGGUGUUGCCCUGAGAACGAGAUAUGUGCAGCUCCUAUCGGGAUUGUCGGCGCAUCGGGCGGUCUUGCUGGUCUUGUUUUAUCAUUGUCGAAAUGUCUUGUAAACCGGGAUUCCGAGUCUGAUCGGGUCUUCUUGGGAGAAGGUCUAUUCCUUCGUUGAUCGCGAGAGCUUGUCAUGGGCUAAGUUGGGACACCCCUGCAGGAUAUAAUCUUUCAAAAGCCGUGCCUGUGGUUAUAGGCAGAUGGGAAUUUGUUAAUGUCCGGUUGUAGAUAACUUGACACGAGAUCCGAAUUAAAACGCAUCAACCGCGUGUGUAGCCGUGAUGGUCUCUUCUCGGCGGAGUCCGGGAAGUGAACACGGCUUCUGUGUUAUGUUUGACGUAAGUAGGAGUCAGGAUCACUUCUUGAUCAUUGCUAGCUUCACGACCAUUCCAUUUGCUCUCUUCUCGCUCUUAUUUGCGUAUGCUAGCCACCAUAUAUGCUUAGUCGCUGCUGCAGCCUCACCACUUGACCCCUUCCUUUCCCUUUAAGCUUUGCUAGUCUUGAUACCCAUGGUAAUGGGAUUGCUGAGUCCUCGUGGCUCACAGAUUACUACAACAACAGUUGCAGGUACAGGUUAUGCGAUGAUCAUGACGCGAGAGCGAUGCUUGCUUGCGUUGAGUUCUUCUGCUUCUUCGAUCAGGGGAUAGGUUCCAGGUCGGCAGCCUGGCCUAGCAGGGUGGAUGUCGUGUGAGUUUCUGUUUGUGUUUCAUUCGUAGUCGGAUGAUGCUCUGAUGUAUUGUUAUGUUGUAUUCAUGUGGCAUUGUAUGCCUUAUGUAUGUAUCCCCAUCUAUUAUGUAAUGUUGAUGUAAUGAUAUCCACCUUGCAAAAGCGUUUCAAUAUGCGGGUCUAUCCUUGGUGGGACCUUCGAGUUCCUUUUGGAUAGGGUCGCAUAUUGGGCGUGACAAGUUGGUAUCAGAGCCUCGGCCGACCCUAGGAGCCCCCUUGAUUGAUCGUGUAGUUUGGCCGUUGUCGAGUCUAGAAGAAAACUGUUUUCAGAGUCUAGUUAUAUUGGAGAGUAGGAAUUCUUUUUACUCCCCAGCCCCUUCGUCGCUCUGGUGAGGAAUCUUGACGUAGGUGUUUUGAACUGCUCCUCUUCCUUUUCAAACUUUCUUUAGUAUCACGCAGUUGGUUUUCCGAUCGUUGGUUCCUCAGCUCUUUUCAUCUGGUGCAUUUCUUGUCAAGUCGACUCGAGCCUCUUCAUCUUUGAGUUCAGUCCUCAGUUGUUGUCUUUUCCCACCCGCCCCCCCUUUUCUUCUCAAUGCCGGAGUAUGUAAUCGAGUAUCCAUCCUACUCGUGCGAAGCCUUUGCUUUCUUUCCUCAAUGAUUUCAACCGAUGUUUUCUCUUCAGUUAUUCGUCGUUUCUCUUUUCCAUGUUGUCUUUGUUUUCCCGCCCUCCCACCCUUUUCUUCCCGGAGUGUGUCUNNNNNNNNNNNNNNNNNNNNNNNNNNNNNNNNNNNNNNNNNNNNNNNNNNNNNNNNNNNNNNNNNNNNNNNNNNNNNNNNNNNNNNNNNNNNNNNNNNNNNNNNNNNNNNNNNNNNNNNNNNNNNNNNNNNNNNNNNNNNNNNNNNNNNNNNNNNNNNNNNNNNNNNNNNNNNNNNNNNNNNNNNNNNNNNNNNNNNNNNNNNNNNNNNNNNNNNNNNNNNNNNNNNNNNNNNNNNNNNNNNNNNNNNNNNNNNNNNNNNNNNNNNNNNNNNNNNNNNNNNNNNNNNNNNNNNNNNNNNNNNNNNNNNNNNNNNNNNNNNNNNNNNNNNNNNNNNNNNNNNNNNNNNNNNNNNNNGUCUCGGUGGACAUUCUUCAUCUCUUAUUCUUCUUCGGUGGAUUCGAUUCCAAUUUUCGGUGUUGAUCGUAUUCUUUUCCUUCGAUCAAGUAUUCUCCCUGCUCGUUCGUCUCUCGCCAGUUUAUCCUCCCGGAGUGCUCAAGACAUCUCAAGAAAUUCGUCUGUGUUCUAAUUAAUUCGAGGUUGUUACCUCAUUCAAAUAUUUCAACUGUUCCGGUGCAUCAUCUAUCUGUUCAGCAAUCCUUUCCAACGGUGUUUGCUCUUUAGUAGGCCCUAACCCACAAGUCUUUUCCCAGGAUCUUACCUGACUCUUCUAAUUUCCCGGAGCUAUUCUCAAAUCCUUUUUGGAGUCUGACGUAAGAAUGAAUUUCAUCAGUCAGAUGCCUUUCCAAGAUCGCUUUCAAACUCUUUUCAUUGUUGGCUCAACCUCUUUGCUUUUCAUUCUACCGGAGUAUCUCAGUAAUUUUGGUGGUGUUUUCUCGCCGUCAUUUGAAGACCGAAGAAGAGUUUUCAUGUUAUCCUCUCGAUUUAUUCCAUUUGUCAGAUAUUCUUUUCUUACCCAUCUGGAGUAUUUCAGGAGUUGUUUUCCCGUUUCUUUUCACCGAAGGCCAUCAUUCCAGUUAUCGUUCUGUAUUUAUCCCGGUGCUUCUUUCAAGUGUUCUUUAAUCAGCUCAUUAUCUCUUCGUUCUUUUGUAUCUAAAUCCCCUCUAGCAUUUGUGUUCGUCUAAUUCUUCCCAGUGAUUCAUUCUCUUUCGUCAAUCAAUUUUUGAAUUUUUAUGGUGGUUCAUUCAAGAUUCUUUUUCCUUGAUUAUCAUAUCAAUUCCAUUCGCUCUUUCCAAUCCUAUCGGUGGUUCAUGAAGACCUUCUCAAGCUUGCGAUAUGUCACUUCUAAAUCCUUUUUCAAGUAGAAUAAGUAAUAUGCGAAAUCCGUUGCUUGUCAUCAAUUUAAUUUGAUGAGGAUAAGCAUAACAUAAAUCUUAUUCUUAUUUCAUCAGAGUGAUUAAUCCCUUCCUUCGGAGUUUGUUCUUCAUGAAUAAAUUCUAGUCCCAAGUGUUUUCAUCUUUUCUUUUCCGGAGUUCAAAGUUCCUCAGCCAUUUCGUCGGAUCAUCCAUCUAAAUCAUCGCAAGGCUUUAAUCUUAUCCAUUCCAUCCUUCAAUUUUAUCUCAUCAUCUUUUUGUUACCGGAGUUCUUCAUGGUGGUUCUUCAUGAUUUAAUUCAUUCUUCAAGAGUUCAUCAAGUAUCAUUACUCCUCUCAAGUUCAUGUUCUAAUCCUUCCAUUUUCAGUCGGAGUGCUUCCUAAAUCCUUUUCAGUCUUAUUUGUUUUUUUCAUCUCGUUCUAACCGGAGUGAUUUCAUAGUCUAUCUGAUUCCGUGAGUUUUUGAUUCUCGUCAUUCUCGUCGUUCCUCUCUUCUUCUCGAGUGCUCCCGAUUCUUUGUUUAUUCUCUUGAGUUCUUGUUUCACCUCUUCCCCUUUUCUCUUCCGUCUCGGUCCUAAGAUCUCGGGACAAGAUCUCUUCUUAGUGGAGGAGUGUUGUAACGCCCCGGAUCCGAUGUGCCAGGUGUCUGCCAGUUAUUCGCCGUCGUUGCCAUGUCAUUUGCUUGCGUGUUGCAUUUUAUCUUGUCAUCAUGUGCAUUGCAUUGCAUACGUGUUCGUCUCAUGCAUCCGAGCAUUUUCCCCGUUGUCCGUUUUGCAAUCCGGCACUCCUAUGCCCUCCGGCGUUCCCCUUUUGCCUCCUGUUGUGAGUGGGUGUUAAACGUUCUCGGAAUGACCCGAGUCUUGCCUAGUGGCCUUGGUAUACCACCGGUAGACCGCCUGUCAAGUUUCGUGCCAUUUGGAGGUCGUUUGGUACUCCAACGAUUAACCGGGUAACCGUAAAGCCUCCUUCUCUUUGCAGCCCAACACCCCUUCCAAAGUGGCCCAAAACCCAUCCAACUCCCCUCCAUGCUCUCGGUCGUUCGAUCACGAUCGUGUGGGCGAAAACCGCUCCUCAUUUGGACUCUCCUAGCUCCCUCUACCUAUAAAACUAGCCCCUCCCCCGAAAUUCGCGGUCCAAACCCCCCGAAACCCUAGCUUCGUCCUCAUCCCGCAGCCGGACACGUCCGGACCCCGCCGGACAUGUCCAGCCUCCACCUCACCCCAGCCAAUCCCAGUGCGCCACGUCACCCCGCCGCCACUCUCCUCCAACCGCCGGCCUCCACCUAACCCUCUGUCUCCUCCCCCCCACGCGGCUCGCGGGACCCGGAUCGGGCCCGCGCNNNNNNNNNNNNNNNNNNNNNNNNNNNNNNNNNNNNNNNNNNNNNNNNNNNNNNNNNNNNNNNNNNNNNNNNNNNNNNNNNNNNNNNNNNNNNNNNNNNNNNNNNNNNNNNNNNNNNNNNNNNNNNNNNNNNNNNNNNNNNNNNNNNNNNNNNNNNNNNNNNNNNNNNNNNNNNNNNNNNNNNNNNNNNNNNNNNNNNNNNNNNNNNNNNNNNNNNNNNNNNNNNNNNNNNNNNNNNNNNNNNNNNNNNNNNNNNNNNNNNNNNNNNNNNNNNNNNNNNNNNNNNNNNNNNNNNNNNNNNNNNNNNNNNNNNNNNNNNNNNNNNNNNNNNNNNNNNNNNNNNNNNNNNNNNNNNNNNNNNNNNNNNNNNNNNNNNNNNNNNNNNNNNNNNNNNNNNNNNNNNNNNNNNNNNNNNNNNNNNNNNNNNNNNNNNNNNNNNNNNNNNNNNNNNNNNNNNNNNNNNNNNNNNNNNNNNNNNGCCGCCGCCCUCCUCUGCCGGCGCCGCCCCGCCAUCGCCCUCCUCCCUCGACUCCUGUGAUCCCCUCCGUUCAUCCUCGAGCUACGUGCAGCUACAGUACCGGCCGGAUCCAGAUCCAGAUUCGAUUUGAGGUUGCCCCGAAAUCCUCCAAGUCCCAGAUUUCAGUAAUUUUCAUGCCAUGUUUGACCUGCUGUAUCUCUGCAUCCGUAGCUCCGUUUCAUGCGUGUAAUAUGUCAAAUUGUUUUCCUCGACGAGUACAUCAUUUCAUUACAUUGCACCAUUUUCAUUUGAGGUCAUCCUGAUGCCUGAAUCAUCGUUGUAAGAGUGCUUCAUAAUGUUUUCUGCUGUCUGUUAUCAGAACAAGCUCUUUUGUCAUUUUUGCCAUGAUUGAUGUGUGCAUCCUAUGAGGUUGAUGUCUUCAUGUGUUUUGAACUAUGCUAUGUCUUCUUUACAGAGGUGCUUACCAUAUAUUUUUGUGAUCAAUAUGGUGACUAGCACAAGCAUGUAAACUAGGCAUCGUGAUGUUGCUGAUUUUAGUCCCUGUUCUGCUGUAAUUUUAAUGCCAUGUAAACAUGAUGCUACAGAGAGAUCCAUGCAUAUUUAGAGAUACUUCAGUAAGGGUGUUUUGAACAUAUGAUGUUUGUCUAUCCAUUCAUGCCCUUGGUUGCAAUUAUGGAGUAGUCUAGCAUGUUACUUGAGUGCUCUACUUUUGCUUCAAAAUGUUUCCUGGCAGAUUGUUUACGUAAUAUCCAAUUUGGCCAAGCUUGCUAUAGUUGAUCCUUGCAUGCUAUGGACUUGUUCUUGACUUGGUUUGUUUCACAAACAUGUCUUCUUGAUGAUGCUAUGCUUAUCUUGUUAUGCAAUGACUUGUGGUGAGUGAAUCGAGCUUGUUAAGUAGUGUACACGAUGUUGCUGUUUUGCUAGGCUGAAUCUGUUAUUUCGCAAUGCUAUGUAAACCUGCUUCUACUAAUCAUUCUAUGCAUAAUCUGGAGAUGUUAUAUAAAUAUGUUUUGAUCUACAUGUCAUCCUCUAACCAUACAAGCCCCUGGUUGCAUUUAUAACUUGUUGUAUCUUGUUCAUAUCUUGCUCCAAAGUUGCUUCAUAAUGUUGCUGUCAGCCUGUUAACAUUAAGUUCACUUGUUCCCAUGUGUUCUGCUAGUGAUCCAUGCACCCUAUGACCUUGCUAUUGCCAUGCUUAGCUUCAAAAAUAUGUUUUCUUACUGUUGGGUGCCUUGCCAUGCCAUGUAUUGCUCUAUGGUGAGUGGUACAAGCUCAUCUACAUGCCUUCAUAAUUCUGUUUCUGCCAUGUUUGAAUCUGUAUAAUAACUUGCUAUGUUUACAUGUGUGCCAUCAUAUCUUCUGGUCCUUUUUGGCUUAUGGUCAGUAAGGGACUCUUGGUCUAUGCAAUUAGUAGAUUCAUGCCAUGCCUUUGUUUGCCAUGAUAAGUUCCUAUAACAUGUUGUUUGAUAGCUCUAAACGUUGCAUCGUGAUGUUAUUUUCUGCAAAGUCUGAAUUGUUAUUACUUGCAAUCUUACCAUGUAUGUUUGAGCAUGUUCUGGUGAUUUCUGGAGUUAGCUCAGUGUUCAUGUUUUGUAAUGCUUUACCUGUACAUCAUGCCCAUGUCUUUUGUUUUCAUAUUGUGGUGAUGUAGCAUGUUGUUUUGAUGCUUGCAAUAUGCCUAGUUGCUGUUUUGGACAGAUUGUUGUUAUAACUUGUAUACUGUGCAUGUGUUGAACCGUUGCUCCGUUUUGAGUGUGCUCUAUAUGAAACUUGCUUAGAAUUGCAUGUAGUUUCAUAUUAUCAUGUUGCAUCCUUGUUUUGAGGUGUUUGCUUGAUGUUUGGGUGCAUUUUGCAUCAAUGCCAUGUUUAACUUGUUUUGCUCAUAUCUUCUAGGCCGUAGCUCCGAACUAAAUGAUCUUUAUAUGUAACUUGACUAGAAUCUCGUGUAGAUCAUCUUGGUGAAUCUUAACUUGCUGUUUAACAACUUGAACAUAAGGUUUAUUCAGAUCUGGAACAAUUUCGAAAUAUGCAUAUGAGGACUUACCGGAAUUGUUAUAUGUUGUUCCCGGCCUCAUUUAAACUUGCCUUGAUGUGUUGCUCUUGUUUGCAUCAUCUCUUGCCAUGAGUAGCUUCAUGUAGCCUUGUCAUGCAUCAUGCUUCAUUGUGCAUCAUGCCUUGUUCAUGUGUGGUGUGUUUACUAUGUUGGGUGCUUCUUCUUGUUAGUUCCUGUUUCAUUGCGAUCGUGAGGAUUCGUUCGUCUACGAUUGGUUCAGCUUCAUCUGUUCGUCUUCUUCAUGGACUCGUUCUUCUUCCUUGCGGGAUUUCAGGCAAGAUGACCGCUACCCUGGAUCUCGCUACUAUCAUUGCUAUGCUAGUUGUUUCGUUCUAUCGCUAUGCUGCGCUACCUAUCACCUGUUUAUCAAGCCAUCCCAAAUUGCCAUGAACCUCUAACCUUUGACACCUUUCCUAUGCAAACCGUUGUUUGGUUAUGUUACCCCUUUGCUCAGCCCUCGUAUAGCGUUGCUAGUUGCAGGUGAAGUUGAAGAUUUCUCCAUGGUGGACAGGAUUUUGGUUGGGAUAUCACAAUAUCUCUUAUAUUAUUAAUGCAUCUAUAUACUUGGUAAAGGGUGGAAGACUCGUCCUUUUGCCUGGUGUUUUGUUCCACUCUUGCCGCCCUAGUUUCCGUCAUACCGGUGUUAUGUUCCCGGAUUUUGCGUUCCUUACGCGGUCGGGUGAUUUAUGGGACCCCCUUGACAGUUCGCUUUGAAUAAAACUCCUCCAGCAAGGCCCAACCUUGGUUUUACCAUUUGCCUCACCACCACCUACCCUUUCCCUUGGGUCGGCCAACCCAGGGGUCAUCUUUAUUUUAGCCCCCCCCGGGCCAGUGCUUGUCUAAGUGUUGGUCCGAACUAGAGCCCUUUGCAGCGCCCCCUUAGGGAAACUUGAGGUCUGGUUUUAGUUGUACGGAUUGCUCAUCUGGUGUUGCCCUGAGAACGAGAUAUGUGCAGCUCCUAUCGGGAUUGUCGGCGCAUCGGGCAGUCUUGCUGGUCUUGUUUUAUCAUUGUCGAAAUGUCUUGUAAACCGGGAUUCCGAGUCUGAUCGGGUCUUCCUGGGAGAAGGUCUAUUCCUUCGUUGAUCGCGAGAGCUUGUCAUGGGCUAAGUUGGGACACCCCUGCAGGGUAUAAUCUUUCGAAAGCCGUGCCUGCGGUUAUAGGCAGAUGGGAAUUUGUUAAUGUCCGGUUGUAGAUAACUUGACACGAGAUCCGAAUUAAAACGCAUCAACCGCGUGUGUAGCCGUGAUGGUCUCUUCUCGGCGGAGUCCGGGAAGUGAACACGGCUUCUGUGUUAUGUUUGACGUAAGUAGGAGUUCAGGAUCACUUCUUGAUCAUUGCUAGCUUCACGACCGUUCCAUUUGCUCUCUUCUCGCUCUUAUUUGCGUAUGCUAGCCACCAUAUAUGCUUAGUCGCUGCUGCAGCCUCACCACUUUACCCCUUCCUUUCCUUUUAAGCUUUGCUAGUCUUGAUACCCAUGGUAAUGGGAUUGCUGAGUCCUCGUGGCUCACAGAUUACUACAACAACAGUUGCAGGUAUAGGUUAUGCGAUGAUCAUGACGCGAGAGCGAUGCUUGCUUGCGUUGAGUUCUUCUUCUGCUUCUUCGAUUAGGGGAUAGGUUCCAGGUCGGCAGCCUGGGCUAGCAGGGUGGAUGUCGUGUGAGUUUCUGUUUGUGUUUCAUCCGUAGUCGGAUGAUGCUCUGAUGUAUUGUGAUGUUGUAUUCAUGUGGCAUUGUAUGCCUUAUGUAUGUAUCCCCAUCUAUUAUGUAAUGUUGAUGUAAUGAUAUCCACCUUGCAAAAGCGUUUCAAUAUGCGGGUCUAUCCUUGGUGGGACCUUCGAGUUCCUUUUGGAUAGGGUCGCAUAUUGGGCAUGACAAUAAUAUAGAUUGGAAAAGUAAAGAUGCAAACAAAAGUAGAUUGAAAGCUUAUAUGACAAAAGAUAGACCCUGGGGCCAUAGGUUACUAGUGGCUUCUCUCAAGAUAGCAUAAGUAUUACGGUGGGUGAACAAAUUACUGUCGAGCAAUUGAUAGAAAAGCGAAUAAUUAUGAGAUUAUCUAGGCAUGAUCAUGUAUAUAGGCAUCACGUCCGUGACAAGUAGACCGACUCCUGCCUGCAUCUACUACUAUUACUCCACACAUCGACCGCUAUCCAGCAUGCAUCUAGAGUAUUAAGUUCAUAAAGAACAGAAUAACACAUUAAGAAAGAUUACAUGAUGUAGAUGGAUAAACUCAUGCAAUAUGAUAUAAACCCCAUCUUUUUAUCCUCGAUGGCAACAAUACAAUACGUGCCUUGCUGCCCCUGCUGUCACUGGGAAAGGACACCGCAAGAUUGAACCCAAAGCUAAGCACUUCUCCCAUUGCAAGAAAGAUCAAUCUAGUAGGCCAAACCAAACUGAUAAUUCGAAGAGACUUGGAAAGAUAACUUAAUCACACAUAAAAGAAUUCAGAGGAGAUUCAAAUAUUUCUCAUAGAUAAACUUGAUCAUAAACCCACAAUUCAUCGGAUCUCGACAAACACAUCGCAAAAAGAGUUACAUCGAAUAAAUCUCCAAGAAGAUCAAGGAGAACAUGGUAUUGAGAUCCAAAAAGAGAGAAGAAUCCAUCUAGCUAAUAACUAUGGACACGAAGGUCUGUGGUAAACUACUCACAACUCAUCGGAGGGGCUAUGGUGUUGAUGUAGAAGCCCUUUGUGGUCGAUUCCCCCUCCGGUGGAGCACCGACGAAGGCUCCAAGAUGGUAUCUCGCGGAUACAGAAGGUUAGGUUUUCGUGGUUGCUUCUGAUGUUCUCGGGGUACGUGGGUAUAUAUAGGAGGAAGAAGUACGUCGGUGGACUCCCGAGGGGCCCAUGAGAUAGGGGGCACGACCAGUAGGGGGGCGUGCCCUCACCCUCAUGGCCGCCUUAGCUACUUCUUGACUUGCACUCCAAGUCCUCUGGAUCACGUUUGUUCCAAAAAUCACGCUCCCGAAGGUUUCAUUCCGUUUGGACUCUGUUUGACAUUCCUUUUCUUCGAAACACUGAAAUAUGCAAAAAAAACAAUAUGGGUUGGGCCUCCAGUUAGUAGGUUAGUCCCAAAAAUGAUAUAAAAGUGUAAAGUAAAGCCCAUAAACAUCCAAAACGGGUAAUAUAAUAGCAUGGAACAAUCAAAAAUUAUAGAUACGUUGGAGACGUAUCAUCCAGCUGCUAGAAUCAUUUGUUGAUUAAGUUGACAAAGCCCUGCGUACAUGUCUGCUUAGUAGGCCCAUAGGCCAGCCACCAAAUCUGUCGGGUCCUAGCUAUCAUCGGGAGGAAUAGUUUUUUUCGCAUAACAAGGAGGCACUUCCUUCCGUGCGAAGAUACAGCCGGUGGGUCCCAGCUGUCAGGGGGAGGAAAUAGCUUAAUAAGGAGGAACUUUCCUUGCGUGCGACCAUGGACCUCGUGGGUCCCAGCCAUCAGGCUCUCACGUACAGUCCUCUUCCGAUGACUCUCAUUUGUUGACCAUGCCGCGUCGAGCACAGCGAGGCGGUGGACGACGACGAGGCCCCAGACUGGAACGCCCCGGAGAUGGGGAAGACGCAACAGUGGAGUCGCAAACGGAGAGGAGUUGGAAACUUGACUGGUUUAGGUGCCAGGUGGGCCUACACUCGGCAAAGAAUAACAAGAGGUGUGGAGUGGAGGGAUGGCGGUCGGCGGGGUAGCGUUUCGCUGCGAGACGCGCAAAACAAUACCACUAGAUGCCGGAGGCUGGAGCAUGCGGUCCCGGCAGCGCUGGGGGAAGAAGAUGAGAGAUUAAAGAAGAAUGCAGCCCGUUGGAUGUAAAUCCAAUGCCUUGCUUAGGCUUCGACCUACUGGCCCACAUGUCAGUCAGUCCAUUUGUUUUUUAGUCCAUUUGGUGGGCUAGGUGAAACAAUGAUGUAGCAUCUAUGCAGCCCAUUUAUAUAUAUGGUAGAAUUUAAAGCCCAUUUGCAUUUUUCUUGAAAUCCGCGCGACUUGCUGGGCUUGGUGAAAAUAUCAUGUUGGGCUAGAUGGAGAAAUAUUAGAAAAACAUAAACACAUGACUGCACGUCUAUUACUGCAUUGGUCAGUAAAAUCUUUGCAAGCUUAUGUACGCAAUCACUAGGAGUUAACUUGCCAAGUUAUAUAUAAACAAUUAUUAUUAUUAUUUUGUAAGAACUAUCAAUUUACGACAUAAAAUAUUAUUUUAAUUUGAUGAGUUAAUAGGACAUGGGGUAUUAUUAUUUUUUAGGCUAGACGUGGGACAGUUGAGUUGGUUCUAGGGAAAAGUACUAGGAGAAAACUCAGUUUACAUCGAAAAAGAAAGUGGAAGAAAAUUCAGAUAUAGGAUUAAUGAAAACAAAAAAUAAAGGAAGUGGGAAGGUCUAUAAAUUGGUUGGACGAACGACAGGUUUAAUGGAACCUUAUGUUUUUUCUAUUAUAUACUAUUAUAGAAGGGAAAACAUAGGUUCAGUUUUGCAUUCUUAUAGAAAAAUAGAACUGAGAUGUGCGUCGUCUUGAAAAAACAAACAUAACUUGGGCUGCUAAUGUUAUAGACAAGCUAGGUUGGGAGGCCCAGAGGCCGCUUGAUCCAAAAAACAUUGAAACAUGUCAUGGGCUACCCAUGUUAAACAACAAAACCUAGGCCAUGGACCUGGUGUGCCCGGGACUGUCAGCCUCUUGACGAACAAUUGUCUCCCGAUUCCUCUUGUUUUGCUGACGAUGUUGGUAAUGACAGAUGGCGGCGCCGCGGCGAGAGCACCAAGUGGAGGACGACAUCGAGAUUGCGGACCGAACAAACCGGAGCGGGGGAAGACGCAGGUGGAGGGGAGUAUGAGGGUUGACUUGUUUGGGUGCAGGGUGGCCGGUGGAGCUCCUUGGUAUCGUUGUCUUCUUUCAUGUUGGCGUAGCAGGGGUUGAUGAUGGUCUCGGCGAGGUCAACCAUGGAGUCCUUCUCCUGCCCGUUGCCGCUGAUCUUGUAUUGCUUCUGGAUGUCGACAAGCUUGUUGCAACAGAUGGCCGAAUCAUCGCGUUCUUUCUUCUCUCCACCAUAGCGAAGGUGCAGUCGGCGCUGCCGAUGAAACGGGUGAAUGAUCCAGAACCUCUGAUGGCCCUACAACAGUGGUAGACGAGAACCUCGCCCCACACGUGACCAGGGUGACCGCGAUCCGCUGGUCCCUGUCAGGAGAUAAAUGGAUGGACACAAGGUCUAGUCCUACGACCUUGUGCUUUCUCAUCCUGUAGGUACUGCUUGAACUCGGCGAGGCAGAGCUUCACCGAGUCCGGAUCGUUGGUGUACAUCACAUUCAACUUGGUGCCGCCAUGGAACUGAACGAAGAACUCAAAGGUGAACUCCUUGCUGAAGUUCAUAUCCAGCAGGCUCACCCCUCGGAUCGCCAUUGGAGUCUCUUCAAGUGAACGAGUGAGUAGGCGGCAACAACAGUUCAUUUUUCAGCUCUUGGGGAAUUGGAUUCAACAGUAAACUGAGUGCGAUAGGCGACAACAGUUACUACCCCUCCCUCGCCCAUUGCACGGCCGGCAGAAUAUGCACCCUCGGUGCAUUCAAACGCCUCCAUUAAGAAACCUAUUCCGGCCACACACGUCAGUUCACGAGCGGGUCUGUAUUGGUACUGUAAUAACAAGUGUUAGUGGUCACUUUACUUCAAUUUAAUUAGCUUUAAUUAAAUGUAUUCUUAAAACAAGCAAUGCAUUGGCUCGUUCUAGCAGUGCCACAAUAUCAACAUGCACAACAAUUAGAAAUAUCAUUCUCAGGAUGCACAUGAUCAACACAUUUGCCGCACUUUCACACAGACAAUACUACCAAGUUUGAACAGUUUGUUAUGGUUGUUGUCCUCUGCAUCAUCAUGCCAUGUUUCCCAGCUUGCAAGAUUCAGAACCAACAAAUAAGAUUCAACUAAUAAGUACAACAAAGAUGCCUACACAUCUCAUUGAUUCCCAGCUUCCAAGAUUCAGAACCAACAAAUAGGAUUCAAAUAAUAAGUACAACAAAGAUGCCUACACAUUUCAUUGAUUCCCAGGUUGCAAGAUUUAGAACCAACCCAUUAGAGCGUUUUGAUAAAGUGAAUAUCAGGAUUAAACCAUCUUGGCUAGCCGUGUCAUACAACCCAAGAACUUGGCGAAUGCUCUUGACCAUCACAACAUCUGUAGUAGAGUAUUCCUGUUUGCACAGAUAAGAAAGAGCUUGGAUUUAGGACUCUAGCAGCCGUAGAGAUGGUUGUACAAACAUUGGCCUUUUCUUUUGGCCACCAAUUCUAUCUAUGUUCCUGAUGCGUCAAUCUUUGAUGCAUCCCUUGAAAUUACUAUAAUAGUGGUACUAGUUGAAGCAAACUUUAUUUCCAAAACGAGAAAAGAUUGCGAUAGAAUAGCUUUAUUUAAAAAAUACAACGUUGGCACAGCAUGACAAAGCACAAUCAUGUUGAUAAAGGACAGUACUAACCGAUGUGAGGGGCCCUAUGCCGCCACGACUCGAUAUCCCUAUAUGCACAAAAAGAUAGAAAGUAAACAGUUGCUGGUCAAUAAGAAUAUAUGAAACAUACAUGAAAUGAAAAGAAGCAUCUUAGUUAUGUUCAUGGCAAGGACAGUAGAAAUUUUAAAAUGUGAGCAAUGCUUCAUGUUACUGGAAGCAUUACGAUCAACUAUGGCAUUCAUCAAAUAUGGGAUUACUUUAAUGGUGGCAUUGCUUGUUUACUAGAUGCAGUAAAUCAACAGCAGCUAAAGAGUUGGUUUAAGGGCAUGGGACUGUGGGUACACCAGGUCACUCAGCAGCGUAAAGAAGCAACUUACUUAUCAUACU
RNAcentral lists this long non-coding RNA (51221 nucleotides) under Triticum aestivum (bread wheat). Its description in RNAcentral is "long non-coding RNA (TAES_LNC007407)". Lineage: Eukaryota; Viridiplantae; Streptophyta; Magnoliopsida; Poales; Poaceae. The record is from RNAcentral.